UUAUACUAAUGUAUAUUUGACAUUAUCAUAACUUUAUGAGUACAAGGUACAUUUGACAAUAUCAUAAUUUGACGAGUACACUAAUAAUAUUUGCAUUUAAGCAUAACUUAAUCAUAACAUUUAAAAUCAAACAUUAUCUUUUAAAUUUAAAAUUCAAAUAUAUAUACUAAAAUUAUCUUUUAAGUCCUCCUUUUGAGAAGAUCUUUAAAUCUCUCCCAUCCCAAUCAUCAUAUCUUCAAUAUUAAUUUAAAACCCUUUUCAGGUUUGUGUUAUGUUUGUUUUUAUCUGUAAACUGUAUUGCACUGCACGCACACAAGUAUAAACAAGUACUCUAAAGAUUGGUAAAAGAAGAAAUUAAUAUUUUCAUAUAUAUUUUUGGGAAAUGAUUAGCAUGAAGUUUAUUUUUAGGUAAGUUGGUCAAUUGGUCAAUAAGGUGCUGACAUACAGGCGAGAUUCUAUGUGUGUCAGCAUUCUAUUGGUCAAUUGACUAACUUAUCAAAAAUUAAAUUUUAUACUAACCGAGUCUAUAUUUUUGAUAUUUUUAUAUAAUUACACUAAAUCUCAUCUUUAUAUGAAAAAGAAUUAUAUAAAAAUAUUAAAAAAAUAUAUGCAAAAAUAGUACUUAAAAAAACAGGUCAAGAGUAAAGAAAAGGGAGCUGAGCUUAUUAAGCUAAAGCUGAACAAAAUCGUGAGCUGCAACUCGGUUGUCAUGCUUUGUGUAAAAAUAAAAUACUCUUUUCGUUUUUAAAAGAUUAUCAUUUUAGAAAAAAAAAUUUGUUCUAAUUUAUUUGUUAUUUAUAACUUUUUUGGAGAAUAUAUUAUUUACUUUUGUAUAUCAACCCUAUCUUCUCUCAUUGUCAUACUAAAUUCUCUUCCUUUUAUUAAUAGUUUUCAACUUCCUAUAAAGUGGUAGUAAUGAAAUUUCAAAUAAAUUUUAAUUGUUACUCCCUCCGUUUCUUAAUAUAAGUCGUUUUAAAGAAUUAUUUUUGUUUUUUAAUAUAAGUCGUUUGAGAUUUUUAAAUAAACAUUAAUUGUCUAGUUUUCAAUAUUACCCCAAGUAAUAAAUAUAAUUUUGAUUCCCUCACUAUUUCUUUUCCAUAAAUACCAUUAUCUUUUUCAAUACAAAUGUAAUAUAGAUAAUUGAUAUUAUAUUUAAUGCUAUGUAAUUAUUUUCUUAAUACUUGUACAUAACUCUAAAACGAUUUAUGAAGUACUCCCUCCGUCCCUAUUUAAAUGACCUUUUAGAGAUGGGCACACCCAUUAAGAUAAUGAUUGAAAAAUAUUAAAAAUAGUACUCAAUUGUCUAUAAUACUUUUAAAUUAUUAAUGAAUUUAAAGUACCAAAAAUAAUAAGUAAAGUAAUGAGGAGUAUUCAAUGAUACUAGUACUAAAGAACGGAAAAUGAUACUGGUAUUAAAUUAUUUUUUUAAUUCUUGUGUAAAAAUUUUAAACGAUAAUGUUUUAAGAACCGUGAGUACUUGAUAAUUACCGGAACCUGACAUCACUGACACCAACAUAUCAAUUCCACUGCGGCCUCGGCCUCCUCUUUUAGGAACGGAGUACUCUAUUUUUUAACUCUCUCCCUCGGCCUCCUCUAGCAGAUCGAUCUUAUUCUCUCUCCUCUUUUACGGCUUAACAAAACAAAACAAAAUCUCUAAUCUCUCUCCUACGGCUAAACUCCACCCACACUUUUGACUUUAUCGUCCAAUCAUCAAUCGAGCACAUAAAAGUGUUGGAUUCGCCGGCUUCAUUGUCAGUCUUACUUUCCGGCGCUCUUCACCAGAUUUCUAUGAGAAUUCUUAAUUCGGGAUUGAUGUAAAAUAAUGAAUGCUCUGCUUCUCGAUUUAAAUUUGUUUCUCGAAGCACGGUAAUCGAUGGUGAGCUUUUGGAUCUAGAUCAAAAGUUCGUCUGGCGACUAUACCGGCGGAGAAAGCGUCGUGGUGUUUUGGCUGUCAAUUGGACCGAGGUUGUAGCUUUCCGGCCAGAGGAGAAGGGGGAGAGACUAGAGAGACACACAGGUGGCUGAAAAUGGAAUGUUUACAGGUCAGUAGUGGAAAUCUUGAAGCUUAUAGAGCACUAAGGGCAAAGCCAAAUUGAUUGCUUUCUUUCUGUCAAGUACUCAUUUUUUUUAAUGUUCUCUGCUACCACCAUUAAUGCUUAUCAACUGUCUAUUUAUUAGCUUCUUCGGAGUGGAGUUGAAAUAUCUUUAUCCAUCUUUAUAGAAUUAUAUAUAUAUAUAUAUAUAUAUAUAUAUGUAGAGAGAGAAAGUUGAAAUUUUUAAAUCGUUGGGGCUAGGCUUCUCCCCUUUCUCUCUCUCUCUCUCUCUCUCUCUCCCUCUCCCUCUCUCUCUCUCUCUCACUUCCACUUUGUAAAAUCACUUUUUCUUUACUCUGCAGCCACCUCCUCAGAUUCUGUUACUAUCUUUCUGAUAUCCAUCUAUAAACUUGAACAUUUUUUAUUUUAUUUUUUUAUUUCCCUAUAUAUAUUUGAAACUUAUGAUAUCGCGAUUAGUCCUCUAGUUGCCUUAUCUGCCGAUCUACUCUGUUUUUUCGAUGUAAGACUGUCUAUUUUCCUUUCUAUGAUUUUUUUUUAAAUAAAGUCUUUGUCAUGAUAAUUGAUUUUUUUAAAAAAAUUUGUUUUGCAGUAAAAUAGGCAAUACAGAGGAAUCAAGUGUUUGUGUUUACGGAUUAAACUGGUAUGAUUUUGAUGCAGUACCUUGUUCUUAUUUCUGUUUUUUACAUUACUUUCUUUCACGUAUUUGCAGAUUUUGUGGAUUAUGAUUUGUAUUGUGUGAAUUUGUUGGGAUCUGAUUGAAACCUGGUAUCGUAUUACCCUUUGCCGAUUUUAGUUUUUGAUGUUGCAGUGCCUGUUUGGGCUAAACCCUAGACACAAAUGGGUUUUAGAUUGGGUGAGAAUUAAUUAACAGAGAAGAAAGAUGGUUUGAUACCCGCAAAUAGAGCCCACUUUGAUUUUUGCAUUGAGAAAUUUUUGGCAGCUUAGCUGUUAGAUGCAAGUGGAAGUUUAUGAAGAGUCCGACUUCUGUGUUGUCUUUUUCUCUGUGUGCAGAACUUGGAUUCCAUAUGUUGUGAGGUAUCUAUACAAAACUUGUAAUGUUGGUAUAGUAUAUGAAGACGACUUUUUGUUACUUGUUAAAAAAAGAGAGCGGCUACUUUUCAUUUAUAGGGGUAUACGGCUAUGUUGUUUGAGUAACUUCUAAAAGGGAUGAAGGAUUAUAAUCCCAUGAACAAUAAUGGGAUUAUACAAUAACCGGGGGAAGUUGUUUCGGAUAUUACCUCCUUUUGGUUAUUAUGCCUUUUUUUUCUUCUUUCUAUUAUAGGCUAGUGUGAAAAAUCAAUAUCAAACAUAGGGUAAGGGCUCACUUAAGAAUUACAAUCCAAUCUCCCAAACAAUCACUGAAAACACACAUAGCCCCAGUGUAGCAUUUGAUUAUGAGAUUGACCUAAAUUUUUACAAAGGAAAGAAUAUGAAAAUGGAUAAACAUGAUCCUAAAUGUUUAUUCCGAUUGGCGUUUUGUGCUACUUGCUUUGAACCUCUAGGAUGAAAUAUUGCUUUAGUUUUUUAUAACUCAUCUACCCUUGUAUAGUUAGUUGGUGUUAUUUACUUUCUGCUUUGUUAUUACAUGACAAGUUUGAUUCUCUGAGCUAUUUUAAUUGGUUUCUACUGAACAGAAGAUUUUUUAUUUUUUUUUGGUAUCAAAUCCAUAUUUGAUGUUAAUUACCUGGGAGCAGUAGCAGUACUUGUACGUUAAGUUUUUUGUCUCGUGUACUCUAUUUUUUCCCCUUCCUGUUAUCAGAAAAGAUUCAUAUGGUGUGAUUUAGUUCUCUAGUAUAGUGCUCUCUCUCUCUGUCUAUAUAUAUAUAUCUAUCUAUCUGCUUCUCCUUAUUUGACUUAGGACUUGAGGGAAUUAUUCAUGUGACGACUACUUUUUAUUAUUUUCAGUUGGCUUUCUGCUAGGAAGGUGGAUGUUUGCUUCGCAGCUGUUAAGAAUUCUCCAAACAAGACAUGCAAAUCAUGAAGCCUGGUAAUAUUCCUGGUUGCUAUCCUUUCUUUCAUAUUGAAAUCAUGCUGCUUUUAAAUUCUAUAGUUGCUCACCUGUAAUUAAGUGCGUUGAAAUCAUAUUUUUAUCUUUUAUAUGUUAGUGUAGUUAUGUAAUCCCUUAUAACUGUUAUCAAGAAGUUGGUUUCCUACAGCUGAGCUUAAAUUCUUGCAACAUUCAUCAAAUUUUCAUACUUCGGAAAAACUGAACUAGAGAACCGAAACUCUUUCACAUGGUCAACUUUCGCGAAGAUCUUUAUUGCUCAUAUUUCUCUUGUUUGUAAGCAUGUUGCGCUCUUGUUUUCAAACUUUCAUAAGAGUUAAAAAAGUUAAUUAUAUGUGCAGAUAAAGAACCUGAGUUUUGUCAUUCAACUUUGGUCUGUAAGAAUGAUUCUAAACCAUUUGAAUACAACAAUAGUUCUUAUGGUGCAGCUGAACUAGAGUCAACAAUGAAGGAAAAUCAGAAUGGAAUCUUGAGUCGCCAUGGGACGAAAGUAGAUCCAUUUUCAACUGAGGUGAAAGAUAAAGAUGGAUACUGGAUUAAUCAAGAACUUGAAUAUUCUGUUGCCGUGGAUGAUUUCACCAAUGGUAAUGAAAAAGGACACAAAGAUUCUGCUGCAGCAAGUAAGGUACAUACAGAAUUGUCUCAGACGGUCUCAGAUUUAUAUACUGCUAAUAAUUUUAUGGAAUGUGACCUGCCGGAGUUAAUUGUCUGCUACAAAGAUAGUACUUGUCAUGCUGUCAAGGAUAUAUGUGUGGAUGAGGGGGUACCUACUGAGAACAAGUUCUUGACUGAAAGUAUAGUGGAUGGUCAUUGCUCCCCGACUUCUAAUGGAUAUAAGCAUACUGAUAAGACCAAAGAAAUUGUUAAUAUGGAUUUCCUCUUUCAAGAUGGCUUCAGAGCUUCAUCGUGUAAAAAUUGUAAUAAGGAUGCUGCUAAUGAUUGUGCGAGUAAAGGAGAGGUUAAUAUUGACUUGCUUAUUCCAUAUGGGCAAAAUUCUUCAUCCGAAGAUGAUGUUCAUCAUGAUGGUGCUUAUGAUUGUCGUGCUGUUUGGCUAAAAUCUUCAUCAGAAUCUGAAAAAGACCAAGAUUCUGCUAGCUUUUGUGGUUCUGGGAAUCUGAUUCAAUCAGGUGAAGAAAAGUGCAAUGCAGCCGAGAAGACAACAGAAAGUGUUUCAAAUAGCAUGCUCUUGGUGAAAGAAUUUUGUGAGGAAACCUCCCUCAAAUUUCUGCUCGAGUCUUCCAAGUGUGUUGAUAAUGACGUUCAACAAUCUAAUCAGGUUGGUAGUCUGUGUUUGUCAUAUGUAUCCCAUUACGAUGAGAGUAAUGUUUCUUUAUCAGUUUUCUUUCUUAAGGACGUUUCUGAUGCAGUUUACUUUCAGUAUAAGUUCGUUAAUUGUUAUUCUCUGAAUGGAGGUGCCUUCUCAAAGCACAACCGUUGCAAAAUAUAACCCCCAUCAAGAUAUGGAACCCUUCAAAAAACAAAAAAGAAGUAAAAAUUGAAAGCAAUAUCAGUUGUUCAAAGUAAAAUGAUUAAUAUAAUAGGCUGGAUUCUCCCUAGUAUGAGAAGGAUAAUGAGAUCCAAGAGGUGCCCUUUUGUCUAUUAUUUAGGGAAAGUGCCAGACGGUUGGGUAGAUAAGGCUAAAGAUACACCUUGAGUUGGCACAGAAGUAUCAGGUAAAAGAUGGGGUGGGGUUAUCUCAUUUGCACACCUUGAAAAUUGAUUUUAUUAGCUUGAAUUACAGAUAUCACGUGCGCAAGCGAUUUCACAAGGCCCUGGGGUAUCAAAAACCGAAGAAUCAACCAAAAGCAGCAAUGUGGAUAAUCUGAUUUACAACAGUGAAGUGGAGAGUGGAAUCAUCACUUUAAAUUUUGAUUCUUUCAAACUUGCAGAGAGCACCAGAGACGAGAACCCUGAAAAUGUUAUUGAACAACAACUUAAGUCAGAGAAUAAGCCUAUUCAUGAUGAUGGGAUUUUUAAUAAUCAUCUUGUCGUCACUAGCCAAGUUAAACGCGGCGAUGGAGGAGAGACUAGUUUCUCUGUUGGAGGUCCUCUAUCAGAUGUAGUUACUUACUCGGGGCCUAUACCGUUCUCUGGAAGCAUUUCUCUUCGAUCUGAUAGCAGCACAACCAGCACUCGAUCCUUUGCCUUCCCCGUGUAAGUUUUUAGCAUACCUGUGUCUUCUGGUUAUGAAUUACUUUGUUGCUUUAUAUUAGACUCCUUAAUCUAACUAAAUGAUUAUGGCUUCUUUUUUUGUCUUUCCAGAUUACCAAAUGAAUGGAAUAGCAGCCCGAUAAGAAUGGCGAAAGCUGAUAGGAGGCAUUUCCGAAAGCAUAGAGGAUGGAGAUUGGGCCUUCUUUGCUGUAGAUUCUAAAUGCUUCUAUUUUAUUUAUAGGGUUUUUAGUUCAUCUAUUCACAUGAUCAGUAUCUUAGUUAUUGAGUAUCGUAAAUAUAUAUAUUUCUCAAUGUUCUCAUAGGCUUGGGGUGCCAUUCGCAGUAGUUUCCCAGGGUCGUGUAUUAAGUUGUGAUCCGGUCUCUGAAAUUUUUUGUAUUUAUUGUUGCAUCUUCAUCUACUCCACAAUGAUUUUCAGAAAUCACAUUUUGUUUAUCACAAUGAUUCAUUCACCAAUUCUUACAGAAUAAAUGAUCCGCUGAUACAAUUGCAUAAGUAUACCAAUUUAGGCUGUGUUUGUUUGUCUUAAUGGCUCUGAAUAGUUGUGCCUCUGAUUCGGUCAGAUGCACGACUUGUUUGGUAAACAUUUUUAUGCCUCGGAAUAACUCUUAAUAGCUAAACCAAUCAAAGCCCAUCUGAGCGAAAAUUUCACUCUGUCGCUCGUGUCUGCCGCUCCUUCUCAAAUCUUCACUCUUCUUUCGUUGGUAAUCUUCCCUCCCUUCUUCAUCUAUUAUUCGUUAUUGCUUGAUUUGUUCUUAUUAAUCUUCUUCAUAUAUUGUUCAUUAUUGCUCUAUUAGUGAUUACUAUAAAUUUUCUGUGAUUUCAAACCCUUUUUUUCAAAUCUCCUUCACUACUUUGAGUAUUUUUUGUUGGCAUCAUAUACAUGUAUGAUUACUGUAAAUCUUCCAUGUUCCAUUUUUCUGGCACACGAAAUCUUCGUUUCCCUAUCUCUGUUUGUAUCUUACUGUACACGAACUGAAUUUCAAAUAUAAAAUGAGAAUUUUUGGACUGUUUUAGUUUGUAAAAAUUUUCAUUUAUUUCGGGUGGACCUUAUUUUGGAACCCCACCCUUCUGGUCAUUUUCAGAAUAGAAGUUUGUGAUCAGCUCCACCCUUCGGGUCUUAUCUUGAGGUGGAGAAUGCAAGUGAAAAAAUCAUCAUUUUAGUGUGUAAAUUGGGAUUUUUUAUGAUGUACUAAUGUGUAUAUAUGGAUGGAUAUGAUGUACUUUCAUUGGGAUACACUAUUGUAACUUGUUUGUAUGACGGGUAGAGUUAUUCCUUUUGGGGUUGCUUAGUUAUGUUUUUUGGAUUGUCUACUUUGAUAAUUUGAUUUGAUCUAAUCGGUGAAGUUUUAGGCUUUAGCUAGUGGAUCAUUUUGUUUUUGUUUUUGUUUUUGUUUUUUGUGAAGAGGGUGAGAAACAAUUUACAAAGGUUAGCUCAUUUGGUAAGUUCAGUAUUGAACAAACUGCAAACAUGUUAAAUGGGGAGUCAUUAGGCUCCAUUUGGUUGAUGAUUUAUUGAUGGAAAACAAAGAAAAAUGCAACAUAAUUUAUGUUUCUAUGCUAAGCUAAUAUGGGAAAAUGUGAUAAACAAAGAAAAUAAGAGAGAAAUUUUUUAAUUUUACAUGUAAUUUUUAUUUUACUUUACUAAUCACUAGUUUAUAAUGUUAGAAACUUCCUUAGUUAUGAAGAAUAUUUAACUGUUGGCCUAAGAUUCUUAGUUGUUGCCAACAAAUUAAUUACCCAGUAACUAUGCAUCAAUCUGUUUCAUUUGUAUCGCAACUACUCAGUUAGAUUACUUUGAAAAACAUUUUUCCCUGAGAGAUCAAGUGAAUGUCCAUGUUAUUGUUAUGUUUUGUUAAUUCUUUAUAAAAUCACUGAAUUUAUUUUUUAUUGUUCAAACUAUUUAAAUUUUUAUUCUUUUUUGUUUACACAUUUUAUAAUAUAUGUAUCUUAGGUAUGGAACAAGGCGGUGAAACUCAAAAACAAAAAAAAGAUUAGAGUGAGUUAGAGAAAUGAAACAAUAGUGAAAACUUUUUUAGAAUCAUGUAUUCGUGAGGUUGUGGAAAAUGGUAGGGAAGGUGCAAGCCUCAAGCCACAAUUAUGAAAAAGGGUGGGAGAAUUAUUAAAAGAUUCCUACAACUUGAUUGUGGAUCAAAAGUAAGACAGGAAAUGUGCAUGACUCGUCAACUAAUAGGUUCAAUCUUUCGGUUGAGGAAUGGAUACAAGAGAUAAAGGUGUUGUUUUAAUUUUUUUUUACAUUUUAAGUUAAUUAGUAAUAGUCCUUAAAAAUAUGUUAUAACAUGUUGAACUUGCUGUUUGAGUACAUGCAAAUAAAAUGGCCUCUAAUCUUUCCAGAUCUUUGUAUUGCAUUAUUUGAUGGAACUGCGACAACGGGACUUGAUAGUUGGGGUCCUAUUGUGGAAGAGCUAGGACUAAAGAUAAAUCUUUGGACUUGGAGGUUGUUAGUCUUAAGGACAUUCCUUUCAGCACCCAAGGUCAAGGGUCUUCUAUUCCAUCUCCUAAAUCAUCAACUUUCGGUACGCAAUCUCAUGCUUUCGGUCCUAGCUUUGAGGGAGAAAGGCCAAAGAAAAAAGCUAGGCGUUCAUCAAAACAAACCUACAACACUAACCUAGAUGGAGAGAUGUCCAAGGCCUUGAAACUCAUUGUUGAAAAGAAUAGUGGACCUUUCGUAAAAGAAUACAAAGAUAAGUUGGAAGAACUUGGGUGGGGACCGGAAAAUCCACUACACAAGAUGACUCUUUGAAGCAUGGAUGAUUCUAAAAGAGAAUGAGGUUGAAAAUUGGGUUACGAUGGUUUCACGCAAGGUAGGAUACAUUGCUUAGUUUGUUGGAUAUUAGUUAAUUACAAACUUUUUAUUAUGUUGGUGGAUAUAUUUGGGGGCUAGGUAAUUUGAUAUUUUUGGGGACAAACUUCUUAUCUUUGGGGCUAGUUAAUUUGAUAUUUUUGGGAUACAAACUUGUCUAAGUUGGGGCUUAUUUGCUAGUUAUGGAUGUGACAUUUAAUGAAAAAUGUCAAGGGAUUGAAGAAAAAGGAAGGUCUAAAGGGAAAAAGAAGAAUGAAAUCACAAUAUGAGAUACGUACAAGAAUAGUUAGAAAAACCUCUAAUUCUAAUAUGAUAAUUUAAACUUUUAUAUAUAUGCGUGUACUUUACUUGAUUGCUUUUGUUAUGGAUGAUAGUUUCAACUUUUUUAUUUCUCAAACUUGCAGGAGGAUUGCUCGAGUCCACAUACAACACACAAUGUUCGUUUGCAAGAACCAAUUUUUAAUCUUAAUCUGGCGCCAAUUCAAGAAGUGGCAUGGAGCUAGAUCAUCUGUAUUUCACUAUUUUUGUUCGAUAGUAGCUUUAACUUUUUUUUUGCAGACAAUGUGUUAUUUGAGUUCUAUUGUUCUGCUGUGAAAAUGCCCGUUCUUGACUUGAAAGAUCUACUUGAAGGGAUAACAUGUUCUGUAGGUGGUGAAUCUUGUGUUUCUGGAUGUGUCAUGUGUGAAGACAGCAUGUAUAUGACUAGCUAUUUUUUCAUAUGAAGGCUUUUAUUUUUGUGUGCUUAUGAAGGCAUUGUUUAUUGUGUGUUUUGAUGUGCUAUUGCAUUUUGGUCUAUUGAUGUGCUAUUACAGGGCAUGUGUUUGUUUGUCUCCAAAGAUGGUUGGAUGAGAUAUGAUUUUGUAUAAAUUUAGGCUCAUAUAUAUUUAUUUUAUUCAAUCGAUACUUGUUUCUGUUCAAGUAAUUUUAUUUUUGGUAAUAUCAGUGUCUUAAUUUAACACUGUUAGAAAUUAUUUAUUGAUUGAAGCAAAAGAGGAGAUUAUUACUACUAUUCAACCUCUCUCAAUUAAACAUGGUCCAAGUUGAUGUGUUUGUGAUGGUAAGUAGUAGUAGUAGUACUAGCACUUUCUUGCUUUGGAUGAAUUGAAAUGGAAUGAUGAAAAGAGUCUCCAAGGCAUGAAUGAAUCCCUCCGAAGCUAGAAGAAUAAUAAUAGUUUGCAGAGUAUGAAAAACAACCUUUUAAUUAGGUAUGUUAUUCCUAAAUAACUUAUUUUUGAUAAUAAUGUUCAAAUAUUCCUUCCACCCAAAUCUCACUCCCAACCUUUUACACCCCCAACUACACAAUCUCCUCCUCUUUUGCUUUCAAUUCCUUGACCUUGGUUUGAAGACGUUGUCCCUCUAGUAUUUCAGCUCUGCUAUUCUCUCCUUGAUGUCAUCCAUUUCAGCUAUCUGAAGAAAUACAAUAGGAAAAUGUACCACAUUUAAAAUCCAAGUAGAAUACUUGAAAAAUGCCCAGAUAUCCAAAUCUGAGUCAGAAACAAACAAGAUCUAUUCAGUGUUGAAACCAUCCUCACCUUUUGGGUACCACCGGAUGCAUAAAGCUUUAACACUGCUCACAUCAACGAGUACAUGAGGGACAAGACUAGCCAAAUCUGGCAUAUACUUCUGCACAAGCACUUUUUUUUCAAGUAAAGGUUGUACAACUAAUUUAGGCAAAAAGAAAGAAUAAUGUUCAUUGCUCACAAAACUUCCUUCUCAAAAAUCGAAAUCAAAAAUACACAAUGGGUAAAUACGGAUAGAGUCUUAAAGUUUUUUUCCCCCUCAACAGAUGUUCAUAACAGAAGCUGAAUGCUCUUCAACAAGAACAAUGAUUGCUAAAUGCACAUAUUAUAUCAUAGAAUAAUAAUAUCUACCUAUUAUAUUCUAAAGAUUCCUAAUAUUAUUUGAUUUAAUAUGUAUGUAUAUAUAAUAUACAUAAACCUUUACAUAACUUCAGGAAUAAAAGAUCCACAUAGACUGAAUUUCCUGCAAGAAGAGGCGUAUGUGCGCCCACAUUUCUCUUAACAAAUUGCACAACCUACAAGAGUGCUAAAUAUGUUAAGGGAUAUGAUUAUAAGAGACCCAACUUCAAAGGACAAUUAAACUAUUAAAAUAUACAACAUUGAAAUACUAGAGACUAGAGUACAAUUCAAGUUUUCAACCACAUGGCUAAAAUGAAGUAUCAAAUAAGUAAUAAAUCACAGUCACGCUCUAACAUAGAAAAUGCAUCAUCCCCGUGUUCCCAGACAAAGAAUAAACCUAUGCCACAAGUAAUUUAAUUUAAUUUUUCUAGAUACUUCAUGUUAUGCCCCUCAAGAGAAUAAGCAACAGGUUAUAUCCUUUCUUAGUUAGAGAAGAAAUAAAUCUAUGUAUAUAGAUUCUGAACUUUACACCACUGUCACCCCAUAACAGACGUAUAAUAUAAGUGGAAAUUAAAUUUUGAAGAAAAACAAUGCGUUACCUGUUUUUCAGCUUCAUUUUCACUGAGUGUGCUUUGAAGCAUUCUCUUUGUCAAACCUAAAUUAAAUUUAAAAAAGUUAAUGACUAAAAAAAUAUGAACAAAACAUGCAGUCAUUUGAUAAUAAUAAUAAAUACAUUGAUAGGAAAAAUAUAUAUCAAAUAGGGAUUGAUAGUUCCAAAAGACUAUCGUCACAUGAGUAGUAAAUGGAAUCACAUUCAUGAGUAGGGACUAGUGGAGAUAUCAAAUUUUCUUUGUGGAAAUAACAGUUCCCAUCAAAUAAUCACUCUAUCAGUCCCUCCCAUUUUGUAUGUCAUCAUCAAUGUAAAAGGCACAAAUUUGAAGAUAAGUUGCCUGAACUUUAGAUAUUAUACUUUUAAUAUAAAUUUCUUUCCCAAAACUACACUGUUGAUACUAUAUAACUUUUGGGGGGAAACUAUAUUAAAAGACAUAACCUCUGAAUAACCUUCUGAUUAAUGGACAUACUAUAUUAAUUGUUGCUGCUGCUGAUCAACUUACAACACAACACCCACCCAUCCUUCAUGUCAUCCAUAACCUUAAUUGCAUCAAUUAACCUCCCUUGCUUACAAAACCCAUCCAUCAAAAUUGUAUAUUUCGUUGCAUCUGGAAUCCACCCUCUGUCAAGAAUUUCAUCAAAUAUCUUCUUUGCACCAAUCAUAUCACCCCUAGACACAUAACCCAACAAUAUGGUAGUAUAACUCACCACAUGGCACCAUACCCAUUGUUGGCAUUUCGUCUAACACUUUAAGGCACCUUCAAUAUCAUUGUUUUUACAAAGACCUUUGAGUAAAAUGUUGUAAGUAAAAACAUUAGGUAUUAUGUUGGAACUUCUUUUUACAAUGUUCAAACAAUAUAUGCACCAAAUUAUACUGUUUGUUCUGAAUCAAAGCGUUUAACAAAGUAUUAAAUGACCUUACUGAGGUUUCAACGCCGAAUUCUUUGACCCGUAAGAAGGUUUGGAGGGCUUGUUUGGGGCGACUGGCGAUUCCGUAGUUUCGAAUUACGACUAUAAAUAGAUUUUCGCCGCGUUUACUGUCCGAUUGCUGUAAUUGGGCGAGAAGAGUUUCCAUCGGCUCGAAUGCGGGAACUCGAGUGAGCUUGUUGAUGAUGGCGUGGUAGGUGUCAUAAUUAUGCUGUAAAUUGGGGUAGAAUUUUCCGACGUGGUCAAAGAUUUGGAGGGAAAGAUCAAGGUUUUGUUGGCUGGUGAUGAUGGAGACGAGGCGUUUGGGGGAGUGAUUGUGUAGGAUUUAAGGAGUUGGUCUUUGAAUUUUAUGGCGGAGAGGUGGUGGUGUGAGGGGUGGGCGAUGAAAGGGUCCGUGGUGGAGGCGGUGGUGGUGAGGUGGAGGUGGAGGUGGUGGUGGAAAUGAAAUGGCCGGUGAAUUGACAUGUUGAGGAAAGUGGCGGACUUGAGUGAGAAAAAGAUGAGACAGUGAGAAUUUAAUUAUGACCAUCAGAUCUGUUUUAAAAGAUCUAACAGCCCAAAAUUUAUCGUAUGGUACAAUAUGUACAUGUUCUCCCCCUCAAUCCCCGUUGAUCUCUUUGGACUAGCAAAUCAUACUACUCGAGAAUAUCCCGUAUAAAUUAUUGCCCACUCCUAUACGCACCAUCCUUUUCAGCAACAGUGUUUUAUUGGUCACCUCCCUAUCAUCACAGUAUCUUUCUUCUCUCUUAUUAAAUUGAAAUCAACGGUUAUAUUUCGUUUGUGGCAGGACCAAUUUCAACGCUUUCGUAGCUACAUCACUCCCCUUGCAUCUCAUUACUACCGGUACAUUCUAGUAUCAAGGUAUCAGGCUAUCAGCUUCUUCUUCAUUAGAGAGAAGCAAGCAAAGAAUCAAACUCAGAAGUAAUGGAGAAUUUAUGGCAAAAGGCAAAGAUAUUUGCAGAAGAAGCAGCCAAGAGAUCUCAAGCCCUAACCCUAACCACUUCUCCGGCGAAGAUCGCCGACAUUGUCUCUGAAACCGCUAAGCGAUCUAAAGACUUUGCACUCGAGGCCUCUAAGAAAGCCGAUGAGCUUAAAACUGUUGCCGAUCAACACAUCAAGUCUCUCGCCGAUCAAAUUCCCUCACUUUCACUCACUACUAAUUCUACUUCUUCUUCCGAUUCAGUGUCCGACUCCGACCUCCAAAGCUUCGGUAUCACGGAGGAUCUCAAACAGUUCGUUAAGGGACUUACCACACUCACAUUCCAGAGUUUUCCUAUUCAAGGUUUUCUUUAAGUCUAUCUAGAUUUUGGCUUCAUUCGUUUAAAUUGCCUUGGUUGAGAUGAUUUUAAUUGCUUUCUUAAUCUCUUGUUUGUUUCAGUGGAUUUUCUUUUCCUUGAAUCUUUAAAUUGCCUUGGUUGAGAUGCUUUUAAUUGUUUUGUUAAUUUCUUGUUUGUUUCAUUGGAUUUUCGUUUCCUCGGAUUCCCUAGAUCUUAGUUUAAGUUUAGACAUAUUUCAGCCAAGAUUACUUGAAACUCCAACAAAUUUGAUUUAGCUUUGGCAAUGUUUAAAUAAGCUAAGGUUUCUGGUUGAAAUAUGAGAUUCCUGUUAUGCCUUGAUUUAAAUGGUAGUAUCUGCUAAGUAUGUUCUAUUAAUAGUUAUCUUUGGUGAAGUUAACUGAGUUAUAAGUUCUGGACAAGGUAAUUUAAGGGACUUGGUAUUACAGCCCUGGGAAAUGGGGAAAUUUUUCUUUCUCUUUGUUGAUUUAAAUUCUUAUCAUCUCUCUUCAGUUAGAUAAUAAUUCUUGUUUCCUGGACGUGUAGAUGAUAUACAAGGAUCUGAUGUGGCUACAUUCUCUAAUGUCCGACAAGAUCUCUCUGAGUGGCAGCAGAAACAUGCCACCCUUGUUCUCACUACUGUUAAGGUAAUUUUUUCUUGUCUUUGUUUCAACUUGAACUCCUCAAGGGCCUUGCUUAGCAGUUGGAAGAAAUGAAAGUAGGAUAUCUUACUAGUUGUUAGAUCACACACAAUCUUCUCUAUGCUUGUGUGCUUUAUGGGACCUAAGAAGUACAUUAGAUGUUUUGAGCAAAAAGGCACACAUUUGAAAAAAUGACCGUCUCAUAAUAUUCAACAGCAUUUUUUUGUCCAGUGCAACAGAAUAGAAAUAAUGAAUUUUUCAAAUGAUAGAGGCAUACUGCAUGACGGGGCAAAUUGUGCAUCUCAAUUAAGAGAGUUCAUAUAUUCUGUUACUGGGAUUAUCUACUUACAGCUUAUGACACCAAAGCUGAAUAUUUCCUUUUUAUCUCCUUUGACGAUUUUAGUUUUCCCUUGUUGGGAGGCUGUAGAAUCAAAAUUUCCUAUGCCUUUUAUCCAUUUUAGUGAGUCUUAUAAAUUAUAAAAGUAGAUUUGUAAAUCCAAUUAAAUGUGAUUUACUAGUCAAAUGGUCCUAUGCAAACUCCAUACAUCAAGUUUUUAAUUUUUACCCUAAAAUUAAUUAAUUGAAGUUGAGAAAAAUACACGCUUUUUUCUUUAAAACUCUGGGCGUGAUUCUAAUUUGCACGUCACAAAAAUGUUCAUGUAUUUUGGAGUUCUAAAUUAGAAAGCAUAAACUAGUCGUCACAUGAAACUAUACUGUCUACAAUGUUUCUCAUGGCUGUGAUGUUUCAGGAAAUAUCGAGGUUAAGAUAUGAAUUGUGCCCACGACAUAUGAAAGAUCGGAGAUUCUGGCAGAUAUAUUUUACACUUGUGAACAGUCAUGUGGCUCCGUAAGUAACGCUCAGUUUUUAAUUUUCACUUUUUCUCUUAGUUAUGGUAAAUGCUAGGGAGAGCGAUAAAUGGCAAUACUGACUGCUUUUAAUUUCUGGACCGCAUUCACUUGUCCAAUUUUUAGACAUAUGAAAACUUGGUAACUAAUCAUUAAAUUAUGGUUAAAGAAAGAUACUUGAGUAGUAACUAAGGAUUGUUUUGAAGAAUUUUUAUUCUUUAGAAAAAAGUUUUCACUAAAAUCAGCAUCAGCGUGUUAGUCAUCUACACUGAGCGUAAUCCGGUAAGUGUUUCGCUGGACUAGUGAGAAUUUUGUAGUCCAUACGGAACAGCUCUAUGCACAAAAUCAAGAAAAGAGUAGACUAGUUUAAAACAUGAAUGAUCUGAAACCUAUAAGUGAGAGUGAGAUCAAUCUGCAAGGCUUGGCAUUCCUUUGAGACCACAAAAAGAAGCUUCCUGUUCAAAGAAGCUAUCUCUAUGAACCCUGAUAUUAUUAAUCCCAUGAAGGCAUGUACAUCUUAUCAUAAAAAACAUUAAGAAGUCAAGAUAUAAUAGUAGGCAUUUUGUUGAAAAUAUCCAUGAUCUGUUCUAAAUUCAUUUCUUUAUUGGACACAUCCAGGUCCGAGAAGAACUACGGGGAGAAGAAUAAGCUAAAAGAAGCAGAGAACAUUAAAGAUGGCAAACUUGAGCAAACUCCAACAGUUGGAUCAGAAGGAAAGGGAACAAGCCUGAAAAGUAAGACUUCAAGUUUAUCUGCGGAGCAGGAUUUAGACACAUUUCUUUUGGGGGAUCUUGAUGACAGUGAUGUGGAGCCAGCAGGUACAUUAGAUAGGCAACUUCGUGAAAUUACACUGGAAUCCUUCAGCUCAUAUCCUGAUGACAGUGAUGUCAUUAGUAUGUUUUAACUUAUAUAGCUGUUUGUAUAAUGAAAUUACACUGGAAUCCUUCAGCUCAUAUCCUUGUGUGACUGUGUUCAUAGUUUUUGGAUAAAAGAUGCAUUUAAAUGUACACACUCAUGGCUGCCGCACUCAACUUAAAAAACGAGUCAUAUGGUAUUGUCACUUGAGAAGGGAUUUAUUUUAGAAUUCCAUGGAAACAUAUGUUAUGUUCAUAGAGAUUUCUACUUGGUUCUCAAUUAUCAAGAUGGCAUGAUUUGAAGAAAAUAUUAUACCUAAUUGGGUUUUAUCAGAUUUGUUUAAAAAUGUUGUGUACUGCUCAUUAACUUUCCAAUGCUACUGCUGACAACUGAAGUUCUAAUGAAUGUAGUCUUUGUUAUCAUCAGGGUUUGUAUACUAAUUUUGUGCGACUAUUUGUGUGCAUUAUGCCCAAAUAUUUGGAUUAUAUGGGUAAUUUUCCAAGCCACUCCACCAAGCAUUGCUUGACAAUAUGCUAAAUUACUAGUUCUUUCUUUCUUUCUUUUGCUGAUUGUUAAAAUACAUUUUCUUAUGCACUUAGUUUUAUGAGUUCGAACUAAUUGAUACAAAUUGCAGAAAACCAGUAGGUAAUUGCUAGAUUUGUUUUUGUUGUCUUUUUUAUUGUUGGCAGUUUUUAUAUUGGAAUGCUCUUGGCCUUAAGUUGCUCAUUAACAAGUGUUUUUAUUUUUACCAGAUGAUGAUGAGAAUUUUGAUGAUGAUUUUGACAAGAUUGACAAUUUGGUAAGAACAAAUUAUCUUCCCAAAUAUUCCUUAAAGCUCCAUAAAGCUCCACUUUUCAUUCUGCUUUGUGCUGCUCAAUUUCUUGAUACAUUAAUUAAAAUCCUCUGGAGGGGUGACGACAAUAGCAGGAAUUCUAGUGUGUGCAACAACUAAGCACGGUUAUGUGGUAUUUUGGAGAACUGAUGGGAUUUUAUGCUUGCAGGGCGUUGAAGAUGAAACAUAGCCGAAUAAGAUGAUGACAGAGGCAGGUUAGAGGGCUAUGCAGUGUUUGAGCAAUUGAAGUCGUACGCGUAUCUGUUAGGUGGAGAGGACAAGUGAAGAAGAGUACUAGUAUAUUUUCUGUGAUACAUACAUACGGUGAUGUAUAGGAGGAGUUGGAAGGUUUACUUUGGCAAUAUAAAGGCCCAUCGUUUAUGGUAGAUCGGGAAAAAAAAUAGGUUUGGGUCGCAUAAAAUAGGUUUGGGUUGGUUUUGGAACCAAAAUCAUAUUACCUAUAUUUAAUAUCAGUUUAUGUGGUUUAGAUUUAAAUGGUUAUGGGUCGAAUCCAUGUUGACCUAUUUUUUUAAAUUAUAGUUUCAUUGAAAUCUUAAUUUCUGUUAUACUAAAAGAGUUUUAAUUUUGGUGGGCGGUGGGCGGUGGGCGGUGGGAGAAAUUAAAUUAUAUAGUAUAAUAUAAAAUAAUUUAUGGAGAGAGAGGAUAUUAAAUAUAAUUGUAUAAUUUAAAUGAGUUAUUUUAAUUAAUUAAGAGAGGAGAUAUUAAUUAUUUAAAUUAGUAGUUCGUUAUACUAAAAGUGUUAACUUAUUAUGGAUUAAUUUCAUAAUUAGUAAAAUGAUUUUUAUACAUAAUUACAAAUAUAUAAAUUACAAAAAUAUGUAAUAUGUAUAUAAUGUAAUAUGUAUAAUGUAUAUGUGUUAUAUAAGAAUGUAGUGUAAUAAUGCAUACAUAUUGAUAUAUUAACUCUACAAAGUGCAAAAAAUUAUUAUAGAUGGGUCAAAAUUAGAUCCAAUCUAUAUUUGUAAUAAUAAUAUGAGUCAAUUACUUAAAAAUUAGUUAACCAAUCUAAUAAAUUUAAGUAGUUUUGAUUAAUUAUUUAAUUUUCAACUUAAAUCGUUAGCUCUAAUUUAUGGUAUGGUUAGGUUAUGUUUCAUUUUAUCUUUGCUUGUACUAUUAAAAACUAUGGUUUGUACAGUUGCUGUAAUUUUAAAGCCAAAUUACGGGGUAGAACAAAAAAAAUUAUUUGAUGAACAUUAAAGCUUUACCAAUUUUUUGUAUGAUCAUAAAAUAAGAAUAUCUAUGCCUUAGUUGCAGCUACAAAUUACUGAUAAUCUUUUUUUUGGGUACAAAUUUAUUGAUACUUUUAUGCAUGUGUCAAUAAACUCAGUUACCAACUUGCGCUCAUUGAUGUUCGGGAUCUACGACUCAUUCGGAAUCAUCAUUUGAACCACUGCGCCAACUACUAGAGUAUCUAACAAUUAAUACUUUAAGAGGAAUUCGUCAUAUUAAAAAUAAAAAAGAUGAAUUAUGUAUAAAAAAUAUGACAAUCUCUCUUAAUAAUAAAAAUACUAUUCACUAUGCCUCUAAUUUUUUAAGUAAUAAUUAGUAGCGUUUAGGAUAUGACUUUAAUAAAUAAAGUUAAAUAUUUACCCUCAUAUUUUAUAUUUUUAUCUCGGUAAUGAUAUCAUAUAUUUGCUAUGACAUAUAUAUCAUUUCUACCAUUUAAUAUUACGUCUGUUACUAAUAAUAGCAGACGUAAAUUUUUUUCGUUUUAAUUUUGGCCGUUGAUUUUUGUAUUGGACAUUCAUUGAAAAUACUCCCUCCCCUUCCUAAAAGAUUGUCGUUUAAGUUUUUGGCACAUGGAUUAAUGAAAUGUCAUUUACCAAGUAAAUUGUUUGAAAUUCCAUUACUACCCCUUUAUGGGAAAAUUGAAAACUAUUAAUACAAAUGAGAGAAUUUUUUGGGACAAUGAGAGAAUGUAGGAGUAGUAUAAGAAAUUAAAUAAUUUAUUCACCUCGAAAGUUGUAAACGACAAACUUUUUGGAAUAAUUUUUUUUUCUCUAAAACGACAAUCUUUUAGUAACGCAGGAGUACUCGCUAUGGAUCAUUUCUUUUAUCUUUAAAAUAAAAAAGAAAAAGAAAAAGAAAAGAAAAAGACUAAAAUGCCCAUAGUAAGCCUGCUAAUUAGAUAAACGCCAUUACCACUCAACUAGAAUUAAGAACCUGAUAUAUAUUACCACAAAUAUUUGACAAACUUAAAUUCUGAAUAAAAUAAAUUAAAAUGCAACAAUAAUUGAUUUUUACUCGAAAUCAUAGUUGGCCAAAAACUUUGAUAAUGUCCAGCAAGACUCCUAUAAUUACAUACCCAGAAACGGAGCCAUCGCGCUCCACAGUCCACCCAACUCUCCAUGAUUUCUGCGGCGGCCGUCGUCUUAAUUGGCGGAAGGUCAAUCAGACUGACCCAACUGUCCUCCAUUAAACUUUUAAUUCCCAACAUAUCCUCUCCUCUCUUCUUCUCUUCCCUCUGCAAAGGCCGACCACUCUCUCAAACAGUUCCACCACCAGUCCCCAAAAAAGUGCCCUUUACCGUUUCAGCUCAUGGAAUCAAGUGGCAAGACCCAUACCAUUGGAUGCGAAAAACGGACGAGCCUGAUUUCAUCAACUACCUCCACCAAGAAAACUCUUAUGCAGAAGCUUUCAUGGCCGACACAAACAACCUCCAACAGACUCUCUUUUCUGAGAUGACCAGCCGAAUACCCUCCAAGAUUUCCACUCCCCCUGAACGCUUCGGUCCCUGGUCUGUUCUUUUAUUUAUAUACAAAAAUUUGUUGCUUUUAGGCUUAAGUUGAGUGGGUAGUUUAUGAAAUGUUUAGUAUUGCUUAUUGUUGGCACAUUGUGGUUGUAGAUGCAACUCAGUGCUCUGCUAUGUGUUGCAUGAAAUUUAUGAAUGAAAAUGUGCAAUUGUUAAUGCGUGAUUAUAUAUUUUUUGUGAUUAAAAUAUAUUUACCUAUGUUUGUGUUUCAUGAUUACAAUGUACUGAGAUUGUUAAUGGAGUUUGAACGGGUUGUAGUCAAUUAUAUUGGGGAAUGCAUUUAACCAUAUAUGCAGUUUAUGAUUAUUCAUGUACUGAGAUUGCUGAUUUUGAGAUUUUCUAAUAUUAAUUGAGUUUGAACAGGUUGUACUACCAAUAUAUUCCGGAGGAUAAGGAAUACCCAGUUUUAUGUAGGAAACUAACAACUGAGAGGAAAGGUUGGGUGGAGACCGUAGUCAAUUACGUGAGGGGAGGAUCAGGGAAGGAGGAAAUUUUGCUUGAUUGGAAUGAAAUUGCGAAACAAUAUGGUAGGUUUCUUCUUGUGGAUGGUGGGAGAAUAGUUAUGCUUUAUUUAAGUUAGUGUUUUCUUGUUAUAAUACACUCACACAUACAUAAAUAUAUAUCCUCCUCCCUCGGUUCCACAAAAAGAGCCCCAUUUGAUGUUGAUCCUAGGUCAUUUGGGAAAAUUGUGAUGUGAAUUUAUUGUAAUUUUUGAAAUCAUAAUUUGUAAUUUGUAAUACUUUUUAAGUAUUUAUACUAUUAACCAUUUCAUUAAUCAAAAUCAAUUAAAUUCACGUCAAUUUUGAAUUUUGGGAUUUCUCGCAAAUUGAUUAGGAUUUUUUUAUUUUAAAAUGAGACUCUUUUUGUGUAUAAGAGGGAUAAUAUCUGCUUUUCAUUUCUUUCCUUUCCCUGUGUUUUCCAAGUCUCAGACGUGCCAAAAUGUGCUUGAGGUACUUUUUCUCACUUAUCAAAAUUUCAAGGGAAAUUCGAUUGCUUGAAAGGUUAUGAAAGUCAAUACUGAUACUGCUAAUUUUGAUUGUAUACACAUGCUGAUGUACUUGAAGUAAUGUAUUCAUUCUUGCGUUGCGUAUUAUAUGAGAAGUCAACUUUCUGUAUCCACUGCAUGUGCGUUUAAUAGUUUCACCACGGAGAGUUUGCUAGUAGGGUUUGAAUGUAUUGUUAUAAUAAGUUGCGCUUUGGUUUAGGUUUUAUCCUUGUAUGAUUGCAUAGACAUAAUUUUUAUCUUUUUCAAAUAAAAAAAAUAAAAAAAGUUGUAUUCAUAUGCUUGUAUGCUUGAUUUUUUUGUUCUGGAUAUGUCCAUGUUCAGACCAAGAAAUUUCUUACUUCCACUCAGUACUUAUUACCUGUAUUUUUUUAAUAUUAAGUUUCCAUAGUUGGAUCCUUUAAUUGUCCUCAAUGGCAGGGUAUGUUCAUGUGGGUGCAUGUCGAGUAUCACCAGACCACAGUUUUCUUGCUUACACACUUGAUAUUACUGGUGGCGAACAGUUCAUGUUACAAAUUAAGGACCUCAGAAGUGGUAUUCUUCAGGACCUAAGAGUUGCCGGAGUUGUUAGCUUAGCGUGGGCUCAAGAUGGUUGUACUUUGUUCUAUACCAUAUCUGAUGAUACCCAACGGCCUUACAGGCAAACAUUUUCUUACUAGUUCAUUGCGUCUUUCACUUGGGAGUUUGUAUAAAUCUAACUAAUUAUUAGUUGGGCAGGGUACAGUACACUAAACUGGGACCAGAUCCUAUGAAUGAUAUCCCAUUAUAUACAGAAAUGGACUCCAGCUUCUGUGUGGACAUCACGAGUACGAAGGAUGAAAAGUUUAUUACUGUGAAUUCAAACUCAAGAACUUCAUCUGAGGAAGGAACUUACCUAUGCCACAUGCCAUUAUUGUAUUCCCUAUUAUUUGUAGAAGAAUAUCUUUAUGGUUGGUUUUACUUACAGCUAGGUUGUUUCGUUUCAGGUUUAUGUCAUAGAUGCAAACAAUCCACAAGAUGGCUUACAAAUGAUUCACAAGCGUGUCCCUGGUGUACAAUACUUUUUGGAACAUCACUAUGGCUUUUUCUAUGCCCUUACAAAUGUGCCUUUGAGUGAUGAUAAUGGAUUGUCUAGCGGAAAUUAUUAUUUGACUAGACGUCGAGUUCAAGAUAUAAAGUCAGCUAAUUGGGAGGUAAAUUUUAUUUACAUGGUCAGGCAUUUUUUAUAAUUUAACUUUCACUUUUGCCUUAAGCUCUAGGUUGUACAAGGUACAAACAUAGUGCUGCAAGGAACUUUGAGUAUAUUGUUAACAAAAAAAAGGUGGAACUUUGAGUAUGUUGGUCUGCUUCUGAAUAUUAUUUGUGCAACUCUCUUUCAUUAUGUUUCCAAUACCUCGUGACAAACACUGCAAGUUGUUGCUUAUUAGUUAUAACUCCCUCUGCUCCUCCUUUUCAUUUGCUUGAUGAACUAAAAAAUCAGGAGAGCAAACCUUCAACGAGGUUUGUGAGGAUCAAAUACUCCGCAUGAAGUAGCUAGUCUGUGCUUCUUUUUAUUGCAUAACAUGGAAUAAGAGAAUGUGAGAGCCACAACUCAGUUGAUACUAUUGUCCUACAUAAACUUCAAUCCAAAAAACCGUAUCCACUUAGUUGCAGUUAAGGCUUCAGAAAUGACCUGGAUCUAAAUUUUUGUAACUAUAAUUAUAUUGGUCUCCCAACUCCAAGGGGUGGGAGAAAUGACAGAGGCUUGAAGAAUAGCCUCAAAGUCGCUGAUUCCAAUCCCUAUACUUGGGAUCAAAAUUACCAAUCAAAAUAAUAAUAAUAAUAUUAAUAAAUUUGUCACCUCAGUUGGUGAAACGUUAUUAAAGGUUUCUUUCUCUCCACUAAUCUCUCUCUCUCUCCCUUGUCAGUUUUUCUCCCUCAAUUCCCCUCUCCCUUAUUAUUACAAGGCAAAAUGGAGCUGCCUAUCUUAUCCAUUUCUUAUUUUCAAUUACUUUUGUUUUCUCUUACUAGAAUAUCAUACUACCAAGUGAAGAUACCAGCAUACAGGACAUGGACAUUUUUAAUGAACAUCUGGUGCUUUUUCUUAACAGAAAGGGUUCCCCUGUAAUAUGUGCCAUCACGAUGCCUAUUGAUGGAAGUUGUAUGGUAUAAUUCUCUGAUACUGUUAGUAUUUACUUGUUUUAUAUAAUUUGAGUUUGCUUAUUUGUCUUAUUUUGUUCUACAGAAAGAAAUGGAGAUUGAUGAUCUCAAUCCGUGGUAUUUCCCUCUGCCGUCGAAUUCCUGUGGAAUUGUUCCUGGUUCAAAUCAUGACUUUAUGAGCUCCCGGUAUCGCGCCAUCCUCUCAUCUCCAGUGGUAUGAAUUCUAAUGGGAUGUACAUUCUGGUUAUUUGAUUAAUCUGAACUUAAUAGUCCGCUUUCCUCUACCCCUCACACCCCUCCCCCCUCCGGGGAAAAAAAGUUUAUCAAAAAUAUGGAUUAAAUUUAACAGCAUCCCAAGUACUUAGAAGAAAUGAUGAAGCUCAGAAUAAAUUUAUAUUUUUCUUAUACGAGUAGGUGAUGGGUGAUGAGCCUGAAUGCAAUCAGAUUAAGUCCGAAAUACAAAGAUCUUAUUAUAUUGAUUUUUUGCAAUAAUCCUGAAAUAUUGAUUCCCGACCAAGGAAAGGUAAAUUUUCCUGCAAGAUGAUGCUCAUACCAUGAGCAAUGUGGCUCCUAAUUAAGCAAGCUAGAAAAAAUACAUUAACUAAAGGAAAACCACAAACUCAUGUAACAGGAAAAAUAACACCCCAAACUUCUCUUUCUAUGAAUAUGGCAUUAUACAAAAGUAAUGUAGUUGGCAAUAAGGUAAACUUGGGAACCAAGUUUGACUAAUGAAUUAGAGUUAAAAAUCAACCUUGUUGGAUUGAGUAAGUAGGCAUUUGGUGAAUCGCUGCUGUGAGGUGAAAUACUUUUACUAGUAGCACCACGAGAAAAAAUUGAAGGACCUCUGCAUUGAGGUGACUUUUACUAGUAGUUUGAGGAAAAAGUGUUGUUAAUACAAAACUGCAAUAGUGUUUGGUAUAGAAUUUUAGAAGCAGUUUAUAGAGAUAUUUUAGCUUGUUAAGUUUAAAUUCAAACACAGUUCAAAAGGACCCAAUUAUAGCUUCUUCCUAAAGUGAUUUAGCAUCCCAACACUCUACAGCUAAAAGUACUUUUGUAAUAUUGUUAAUUACCAAAUAGGCAAAUACUCCUAACCACAAAAUUUGAUUUAAAAGUGUUUUAAGCCCACCUCACUGCUGAACGGACACCAAGUAUGUAGAUCCUACUUAAGACACAUACCUAAAAUAAGCAUGUUGUACAAGCUCGUUAACUCAACAAAGAUCUUUACCUAUUUGAAGCGUAGUAUUCCCUAAUUGCUAAUAUAUUAGUUAAGAAAUAAGUCCCUUAAACCUAUUUUUGAUAAAAAUUUAACUUAUUCCUCUUUGACAAGAGUUGAUCUUAUAUUUUGCUUGCAUCAGUUAUGCAAGGUUGAUUAUUUGAAGACAGAUUUCUGGAUUCUUUAGUGAGGGUUAUGUUUGAGUGAUUUUUUUUUUUAUUUAUUAUUAUUGAAUAAAAAAAUUCCUUUUGAAAAACGUUGAUUAUUGAAAGGUUUUGUAUAUGGAUGUUGGAUGAUGAGUGGGGUUUGUGGAUUGGGAACUUGUAUUUAGUUCCUCUUUGGUGUAAAUUGGAUGAGUUGGUUGUAAACAUAUUUGGGGUUGAAUUAAUUUCUCUCAUCUCCACUGGUCAGGGACACAUAGCCUAAGUUCUUGUUUUCUCUUUUUCAAGCAGCAAGUGGGGUUUGUCCAAAAGUUAACAUUUGCAGUUAUUCUUUUGUUUUAUUUGUUUGUUGGCUCUUCUCAAUGUUUUUCCUCUCUGUUUUAAUCAAAUGAAGAUGCUGUUUAGUUUCACAGUUUUCAACUCAUUCAUAGGUUAUCUCCUCUGGCUGUUCUCGAGUUUUUUUCGCUUCUUGGCAGUCCUAGGUGGAGCUGCUUUCCGUCAUAGUUGUCCCUGUUGGCCUAGUAGUUCCUUAGUCUUGUAACUCAGCUCUUCGAACCUUAGGACAAACAACUUUGAGAACGGCACUUCAAGUCGAUUUCUUCUAACUCAAUUCCCUUAAGUGAGGUCGGGACUCUGUUUCUUCUCUAGCUGGCAUUUUGGUCUGUUUCCAUGAGUGUUGUUGCUUUCAACCGGCCGAUAGCCCCCUGUGACAGAAUCCCAAACAGUAGCCCCGAAGUUCUAUUUUGGGAUUAAAUCGUGUUCUCCUUUAAUCCUAAACAAUGCAAUGAAUAUAAGAAAGUGACUUGGCUGAGUUAUAAUGAUUUACCUAUUAUCCUUGUCAUUGCGAUACAUUGUUGGAUGUAAUUGUCGACUCUGACUGAGUAAUCUAAUUUGAAUUCUACAUGAGAGUUGUGUCCCUCAUACAUAGUUUUGUUUUGUCAAGUGCAGAUACCUGAUUUAAUUGUCGACUAUGACAUGUUUAGACGUACUUUUUCCAUAGUGCAUCAAGACGAAGUACUUGGUAUUUCCCCUAAUUCUGGGUCACGCUCAAUGACUUGCGAAGGAGAGAGUUAUGAAUUUCCAAACCUCCAAAGUGACAAGGACAAAGAUGUCAUAUAUAAUGAAAUGCAGGGAUGGAGGAAUUUCUGUGAUGCAUAUUGUUGUGAAAUAAAGGAAGUCGUUUCCCGCGAUGGUACCAGAAUUCCUCUGACCAUCUUGUACUCUCGGAAAGCACAUCAAAAGGCUCAAUCUCCUGGAAUUCUACAAGGCUAUGGAGCAUAUGGGGAAGUGCUUGAUAAAAGCUGGUGUGCAGACCGACUAAGUUUACUUGAUCGGGGUUGGGUAGUUGCAUUUGCUGAUGUAAGGUAUAUCUCAAGUUUGUUAUAUUAUGGCCAUUAUCCACUGCAAAUUGUAAUUUGGAACUGAGUAGAACAAUACAACCAAGUCGAAUAGUUAAUGUUGGAUUUUGUUUCAAUAGUUAGAUAAUAUCCUCUUUUAUGAAUUCAGACAUGCAUACGAACUCUGGCCCUAAAAAUAGAAGGUUCAUUUAAUUUAAAGCCGAUAAUAGUCUUAACUCACUUAUAAUUAAAGAUACCUUGUAGGAUAGGGGACAAAAUAACAACAUGUGUUCUGAGAGCAUAAACAAUAUGCUGGUGUAUUUUAUACUAAUUAUACGGCCCUUGACAAAUUGAAAUGGAGACUGAAAACAUUUGAAGCUAACCCCCAGGCAUAUUAAAGAAAUUGAUGAGUUGUCUCUCUUUCACAACAUGCUAUUCCUUCCAUCCCAAAUAGGGCGUCAUGUUUUCCAUUUUGAAAUGUACCAAAAUGUUCAUCACUUUUUCGAAGCUGGUGGAAAUUUAAAUAAAUGGACGGUAUUGUCCUCUUAGAGAUAAAUAUAUGUUUACCCACAAUAUAUUGCAAAACCAAUGCAAUUUUAUUAUUGGAUAUAAAAGGAACAAGUUUGGUCAAAUUUUUUCAUUUUCUUUUAAACUAUUUUCCAUAUUGACCAUGACUAUUUGGGACAUGAAUUUAUUGUAACUUGAGCUGCACCAAGUUCUUUCCAACUGCUUCAUCUUCACACAUCUAUGUCCACCUAGGUUAAUACUGACAUAUAGUGGACAUUCUCUGCGUAUUUUAUCUUUUGAAUUGAAAUAUGCUGGCUAUUGUAAAUGCUAUCUGUUGGUUCCCUAUGCUGGAAAGCUAUAUUGACAUCAUGAGUAUCGAAAACUAGUAAUUUGACUGCUGUGGCUUGUUUUGUAUGGACAGAGGUGGUGGUGGUGUUGAUCCUUCUUGGCAUAGAUCUGGGAGGGGAUUGUACAAAUCAAACUCUAUAUUUGAUUUUGUGUCAUGCGGGGAAUACCUGAUUAAUGAGGGUUAUGUCCAUAAGUGUCGGCUUGGUGCUGUUGGAUGUAGUGCCGGAUGUCUUCUUGCUGGUGCAGCCUCUAAUAUGUAUCCAGAACUCUUUCAAGCUAUUAUUUUGAAGGUAAGCACCCCUACAGAACUUCAACAACUAUCUCACAUUCUUUUGUCGGAUGGCUAUAGAACUCCUAUGAGUUGUAUCCAAAAAUAUUAAAAAAUUACUGGAGUUGAAGAUAUUUUGAACUCCCACCAAAUCUAGGAAGCAUCUUCACCUCCCUCUUAACAUUGACCUUUCCUACUCAAGAUUGGGAAAGGGAAGCAGUAAGAACAAGUGAUGGUUAUUGUCUAAGAACAUGUUAUGUAUUAGUAGUAAACAAAUUUGCUUUUGGGAUGUCUAGUUUUAAAAUUUAACUUCAGUAACUGCUGUUCUACAAUUUAUUGUCAAAGUAAUGUUAAUAUAUAUUUGUCAGAUUCUUCUUAUUGUGUAAGAAUCUGAGUGCUUGGUUUGUUUGGAGAGUAACGUGACCAUGAUGUUUGUCUCAGGUUCCAUUUCUUGAUAUCUGCAACACAUUACUGGAUCCCAGUUUGCCUCUCACCAUAUUGGACUAUGAAGAAUUUGGAAAUCCUCAGAUACGAUCCCAAUUCCAAUCUAUUUUGAGUUAUUCUCCGUAUGAUAAUGUACCAAGUAAAGUUUGCUGUCCUGCAAUGCUUGUGACGGCAUCCUUCAAUGACUCAAGGUAACUUCAAACAUCUAUAAAUAUACACACACACAUAUGCCAUGCCUUUUUGUCAUUUUAAACCUUGCACAUGCAUGUAGUUGUAUAUUCAUACCUCUGCCUAGAAAUAUACAUAUUUGAAAGCAUAAUCGAAUGGAUACGGAUAGUUUAACCGGUGCGGUGCCAUUUUUCAAUUAUCUCAGAGUUGGAGUUUGGGAAGCUGCAAAAUGGGUGGCCAAAGUACGAGAUAAUGCAUGUCCAAAAUGUUGUCACUCAGUCAUCCUGAAGACAAAUAUGAGUGGUGGACAUUUUGGUGAAGGUGGGCGUUUUGGUCAAUGUGAGGAAUUGGCGUAUGAAUAUGCUUUUCUGAUGAAAGCUAUGGGCCUCUCGGAUAAGGAUUGAAAAAGGAUUUGUACCAAGAUUCUUGUAAAACAUUUUCAAGUGUACUCUUACCUCUCCCGAUGGAAUUAUGAGCUAAACUCUCCAAUGCUUUGAAGCUUGCAGUGCCUCUUAAUUGCUGCAUCAAAAGCUACCAAUAAGCUCGGAGCGAGCUUAGUGGUCUUGCGAACUAGGUACUACAUUAUUUUUGAUUUGUAAUAUUUAUCUUCUUGCGAGCUUAGUCUGUUAUGUUACGUGUGCAGGAGUCCAGAAGUAGCCAAUAGUUGUCCUCCUCCUCCUCCAGGGCCAGGCUAGCCAAGAUUUUGACUUGCUGCUGUAUGGCAUAAAAAAGUAGUGGAUUUCUUUCUUAUUACGCUUGGCUGGUGUAGAAGAAGAAGAGAAGACACUUUCCAUAAUACUCUUAGAAUUCUCGAAUAAAAAUAUUUCUUAUUUAGUGCGUUUAAAUGUGAGAAUUUAUACAUUGUAGUAUUAGUAUAGAAUAUGAAUAACAACUAAAGUUGAUAAACCAACCCCACCUCGUCUUGCUAAUUUAAUAUACCAUCUGUUCAUGUGGAUUUAAUAUACCAAUUAACUAUCUCCUCUCCUGCUUAAUUAAUUACAAUUUUCAAGAAUUGGGCCCCUUCAUUAAACAAACGACCCCAGAGGAAGUAGUCCAAAUCCAUGAUCAUGUAUGUUUAUUUUUCACCCUUUUAGCCCAGCCCACAGAUCUGCACUGCACUAAAAUUGUAGAAAUGGCCACCCCAUCCGUUCGCUACCAGUACCUGUUGGACUCUGACCACGCCACGUCAACACCCUAUCACUUUAUUACACGUCACCCUAUCUCUUUCCCCGCCUUAUCCAACGGUCGUGAUGAUCUCACCCAAUCUCAGAUCCACCGGCUAUAAUUGUGCAUUCUGGACANNNNNNNNNNNNNNNNNNNNNNNNNNNNNNNNNNNNNNNNNNNNNNNNNNNNNNNNNNNNNNNNNNNNNNNNNNNNNNNNNNNNNNNNNNNNNNNNNNNNUUAACUUUUUAUAAAAAGAUAAUAAUAAAAUUUUAUAUAAAUUUUAAUUUUAAAUGAUAGUAUUAAAUAAUUUUUUUAAUUUAUAUUUAUAAAGUUAAAAAUAUAAUUAUUAUGGAACCGGGAGAGUAAUAAGUAUGGAUAGUUUUAGGGAGAGAAAGAUUAUGUUAUUCUAACCAGGGUUAGUUAUCUAACCAGGGUUCACGCGCAACGUUCUUCACUGCAGAUAAACCGGAGUUAAAAAGAACAUUCGACGAGAGUGAGAUAAAAUACAUAUAUAUGUAUAUACAUGGAGAGAGAGAGAGAGAGAGAGGCUUAGCAAGAACGAAGAGAGGGUUUUGUGGCUUCGACAAAAACAUUCAGGGAUCCUGCCACAUCGGAAUCCAGCCCGUUGAACCUUCUUUCUUUCUCUCAUUCCGACCGUUGAUCUGUUUGAAUCUUUAUAUUCGCCGGUUGGCCGACCCUUUUUUCAGAGUUCAAUCUAUCCAGAUCCACCCGACUGGUGAGUUAUUUAUUUUAGACUUUUCAAGUUUGUCAAUGUAUUAUUUUCUAAUCAACUUAAAAUUGUUGCAAUUAGUUAGUUUGCACUAUUCAUGAAGAUCCAAACUUUAUUAUGAAUCACUUACAAUAAUUCAACCCUACCCGGAUUGAUUACGCCGGAAUUGUUUUGGAUUUCCUGAUUUUUGAUUGCUUUUAGGGUCCUUGGAGUAUUUUCAUGUUUGUCCAGCUCAUUUAACAAAUUUGAUAUUCCAUAGGAUGGGUAUUUAAUAUCUACCAAAUUUUGCUAAUAAAAACAUUAACUAGAAUUAAAGUGUUUGUAAUGCACAAAACUUCCACUUCCGUUAACUUUUGUUGGAGUUUAAUAGGUUCAAUGUAUGUAGACAUAUAGUGGAAACCAUGUAUACUGUGUUUAUUAUUUUAUUAAGUUAUCAAAAGUUAAAGCUCGAGGUUGUAAGGAAAAUCUGAACUAUUUGGUGGUAUACAAAUGAGAUGCCAUAACUUAGAAAGUUAUAUAAGGUAUGUAAUGCAGAACACUAACAACUGAACUUUGAAUAGUAUACCCAAUAAUCUGGCAAACUGGUCCAUAUACAAAUUAAUAUAUUAGUGUGUAUUCUUUCCCACAUACCCUGCUGCUUAAUUUGGUUUGAUCUUCUCAUGUGACCAUCUUUUUUGAUGACUAUGGUUUUUUAUUUCUCGACCUUCUGCUUCAGUUGUUCUCUGUAUCAUGUUUGUGAUCCACUUGUAUUAAUUUAUUGCAGAUUAAGGUCUAUUGCUAUAUCACAUUAUCAGAUGGAUUUCUAGAUGUGUUGAUCAAGAUACUACUUUUCUCUGCCUCUAACAUCUGAUUAAUGAUCUUAUGUGAAUCAUACUUUCUCAUACAAUUGCAAUCGUCUUCUGAGUUUGGCACUCUCUUCGGAGUGAGGAAAAAAGUUUCUUCCGCUGCCAUCGCGGUUGCCAGCUGCAGGAACAAACAGACUCUCCCUUCAUUUCAUGUCGCCUAAUUUGGACAGCCCUGUUCAGACACAGAUGGCGGUGACAGUAUUUAGCAACCCACUUGGUGGAGAGUAUCACGGAAACAAUAGGAUGGAAGGGAAGCCUUCUGGAAGGAGACGUGUUUUUGUGCAGACUGAAACUGGUUGUGUAUUAGGGAUGGAUUUGGAUCGGAGCGACAAUGCGCAUACUGUGAAGAGGAGGUUGCAGAUUGCCCUUAAUGUUCCAGUUGAGGAGAGUUCAUUGACAUUUGGUGAUAUGGUCCUUAACAACGACCUGAGUGCCAUUCGAAAUGAUUCUCCUCUUCUUCUUACACGAAAUGUAUUGCACAGAAGUUCUUCAACUCCUUGUCUCUCCCCUAUUGGGAGGGAUCUACAACAGAGGGAUCAGAGUGGGCCUAUCGAGAUCUUGGGGCACUCUAAAAGCUUUAUCAAAACAAAGCAACUUGUCAAGGAAAUUAUCAAGGGGAUGAAGAUUGGGGUUGAUCCGAUUGCUGUUCAUGGCGGACUUGGAGGCGCAUACUAUUUUAGAAACUGUAGAGGUGAAAGUGUUGCCAUUGUAAAGCCAACUGACGAAGAGCCUUUUGCACCAAAUAAUCCUAAAGGUUUUGUGGGGAAAGCUCUCGGGCAACCUGGCUUGAAGCGUUCUGUAAGGGUUGGGGAAACUGGGUUCAGAGAAGUUGCUGCUUAUAUUCUUGAUUAUGAUCACUUUGCUAAUGUACCACCCACUGCAUUGGUGAAGAUCACUCACUCAAUCUUCAAUGUCAAUGACGGUGUUAAUGGAAACAAGCCUCAAAGCAAGAAGAUCGUGAGCAAAAUUGCAUCCUUGCAACAAUUCGUACCCCAUGAUUAUGAUGCCAGUGACUAUGGGACGUCAAGUUUCCCUGUAGCUGCUGUGCAUCGUAUUGGGAUAUUAGAUAUCAGGAUAUUAAACACGGACAGGCAUGCAGGAAACCUUCUGGUCAAGAAGCUUGAUCGUGUUGGGAGGUUUGGUCAAGUGGAACUCAUUCCAAUUGAUCAUGGCCUCUGUUUGCCUGAAAGUUUGGAGGAUCCAUACUAUGAAUGGAUCCAUUGGCCCCAGGCUUCAAUUCCAUUUUCAGAAGAGGAACUUGAAUACAUAGAAAAACUAGAUCCUGUUCGGGAUUCUGAGAUGUUGCGAAGUGAACUUCCCAUGAUCCGGGAGGCUUGUCUCCGAGUCUUGGUUCUCUGCACAAUGUUCCUCAAGGAAGCUGCUGGUUUUGGUCUCUGCCUUGCUGAGAUUGGUGAGAUGAUGAGUAGGGAAUUUCGUGGUGGUGAAGAGGAACCCAGUGAGCUUGAGGUUGUUUGUAUUGAGGCAAGGAGACUGAUGGCUGAGAGGGAGGUUUUAUCGCCUAGGGAUGAAGCAGAAGACAACGGGUUUCAAUUUGAUAUAGAUUCUGAAGAACCCGGAUUUGACUUCACAUCAGAGGAACUCAUUUCUCGAACCCCAAUUCAAUUUGGAUUUGGAGGUGGUUUCAGUGGACGUAAUCCGCUUUCCAAGCUAGAGGAAAGCAUUGAGGAGGAUGAGAAGGAAACUGAAGGGGAAGUAGAAGACAAGGGAUCCAUAGCCGUAGGACUUCCGGGCCCUGCAAAGAUGCCUACUGUUUCCAAGCUAUCCAUGUCACUCAAGAACACCAGUUUAGAUGAGAAGCUUAAGUACCGGAAAAUUUCAGGAACUAGGCUAGAAUAUGGUUAUCCGGCAAACUCAUCAUCUGGACACAAGAGUGCGCAUGAUCAGCUUCCCGCCAGUGCUAGCUUUGUAAAGUUUUCAGACAUGAAUGAGGAAGAAUGGGUGCUGUUCUUAGAGAAGUUCCAAGAGCUGCUGUACCCGGCGUUUACUCAGCGGAAGUCUGUGACCCUCGGGCAGAGACAGAGACAGAGGCUUGGGACUUCGUGCCGGUUUUGAGAUCGACUAUAUGUUGCUAUUAGAGAUGACUGAAAUAAAACUGCAGACUUGUGAGAGUGAAGGAUUCAUAGGUUAGGAUUUGAUUGCUAUUGGCUUUCUUCACUGAAGGUUACUGUAGUUGGGACUUUGGUGGUAGUAGCAGUAGGAAAAAUGCUUGUAAAUAUUUUGAAGGCAGCUAAGUGAAAGGCUCGAGCAGAAGGUAGUAAUUUUUCUAUUUAACUUCAAUUUUUUCUUUGGACUCUUUCUGGACUUGUUUGAACAAUAAUUUGUAGAAUGAAAUCCAAAAAUAGUGAAAAAAAGUGUUUGUACAUAUUGAAUAUUAUGCUUCUAAGACUCUUUUUGAAUUGAAACUAUUACUAGUAUUUAUUGGAUUAGCUUGAGUUGCAAUGGUGCUACACUACAAGUCUACAUGGAUGGUAUAUUCUUAUUAAAUUAAUACUAAAAAGAUUAUGUAAAAGGUGUCAUAUAGAAGUUUUAAUUUAUGUGAAAAUUUUCAACAAUAAAUGAGAUAUUUUUCUUCUUCUUCUUUGGUGUUGGGUUAGUUUUAGAGAGGUGGUUUUUUGGAUUUAAAUUCGGGACCAGCGAAGCGAGCGCUUGGUCAUCAUGUCAAGUAGGAUCUCAUUUUCAGGCAUAGGUAGUAUGAUAUGAAUUAUUGGUUCCUAUAAAAUAAAAGUGGGUUUAACUUGAUCUCAAUAGCAAGACAAGGAUUUGUAGCAUCAUCCUUUGUUGUUGUAAAGAUUGACAUUCGUUCUAAAUGGUUUUAAUUAAGUGAUGGAUUUUAUUAAGGUACUAAUUCAAUCACGUGUUGCCAAAAUAAUAUUCAACAAAAACAUGAGGUUUAAAUAUGCAGAGCUGGCAAGGAUCAACAGAUGAAACAACUCAAAGGCCUUCCUUUAUGGCUAAAUUAUGCACCCUUUAGGACUAUAACAACGAGGAUUGUAUAUAAAUAAAUCGGUUACACGAAAGGUUCAUCAGGUGAACUGUCUGUCAAGCUGACAACAUGUCCAAGUCUUGCAGAAUGAUUACAGUUUUGUAGCAAUUCUGCAUGAUCCUCAACACAAUGAACAAUUAGAUUAGAUUAACUAAAUCUUUCAUUCACUAAUCAACCUUCUGCCAGACUUGCUUCCCUUUCCACCUGCUUUCUCAGCUGAUCUAAAAUUAAUAUACAACGCCCCUUCACUCACAAGGGAAUCUAUCUGAUGGCAAGUGUAUUAGUGAACACCUUGUCGUGUAAAGUCCUCCUGCUUCUCUAAAUCUGCACAAGUAACCAAAAAGUAUUUGCUUUCUCAGUUCAAAAUAUAAGGCAAAAAAACGUAACUGGAUCCUAAAUUCUGACAACAUGGAAAAUUGAUCAUUGUACAGUUCUGUGCAGAAUGUUUGACGCUCAACAGCACCUUCCUAUGAAUCAACUAUUGACUGAAUUCCUGAAUCAUGAUCAAUCUUCAUGUUCAUUUUCACCUUCAGAAUCUGCAUAAAUAGAAAAGUAAGUCCAAUUAUAUAUCAGUUACAACGGGAGGUUCUGACUGAAGAUGCUAGUGGUCUGAAUUAUAUGCAAGAGGUUGCUGUCAUAUUAGAUCACUUGGCUGGAGCAAUAAUGGCUGCUAAUACAUUUAUAACAAGCUAUAGAAGUCGUCUUCAAGGGAAAUUUAACCGAUAAUAGGGGUCAAGACGCUGUCAGGCGAGUUUUUUUGAUUUGCUAAAAACUAUCCAUUCCAUCUUUAGGCCCCUAACUAUGAUAAAGGGGCGAGUGCACUUUUUGAUGAACCACAAGUAUAACCCAUACUAAAUAUGAUUAGUCAUGAAGCCAUUAACAGGUUCUCAGGUUUACAGUAAAUUAAAAGUUAUAUAGAGCAUAAUAAACUUCAUCCACUGGAACAAAGCAGUAAUAGAAUUCAUUCAAAACAAAUGCAACCAUCAGUUGAGUAGUGACGGAUUAUUUACAGAAAACCUAUGAUGCCCUUAUUAUACUUAUGGCUUGGAAAAAUGAAUAAACACAAUACCAGAGCACAUUGAACAAUUAUGCUGCAAAAUUAAAAGAAUAGGUAUCUACUCAGAAGGUAUUGAAUGAUUAAGGCCUUCAAAAAUUCAAUCUUCCAUGACAACAAAGCGGUACAUUUGUUUACUUCAACUAGUACUGAUUUGCUACACUAAUGCUUUCCUCUUCUUUUCCCCCCUUUGUGUGGGUUUUUUUUUUGUUUUGUUGGGGNNNNNNNNNNNNNNNNNNNNNNNNNNNNNNNNNNNNNNNNNNNNNNNNNNNNNNNNNNNNNNNNNNNNNNNNNNNNNNNNNNNNNNNNNNNNNNNNNNNNNNCCUUGUUUUGACUUACCAGAUCGAACAUCAUCACUAAGUUGGCCUCUUGCUUGGAUUUGUUUAACAAGCAUCCGAUACAUUAACACCCACCAGUAAAUGUGAAGAACGAGCAAGCAAAAGAGAAGAGUAUUGAACACGUAGUAGUAGAUUGGUCCUUCAACUCUGUGCUUCUCCUUGUCCAAUGCUUGGAGAACUUCAUAACUGCCGAAAAAGGAAUAAUCCAUAAUAUUUCAUCAUAUUUUAAGCUCUUCAACAUAUUAAUAGUUAUCAGAAACUAUAGAAUCUUAAAUUGGAUACUGAAAUUGAUAUUGAUACUAUAAGAAAAGGAAAGAAAAUAAGAUCAAAAAUGAGUAUCUCACUAAAGUGCAAGCAGUGCUACUGAACUAAUAAUAAGUAAACCAAUUAUCAAUGAAACAUUUAACAAUUGAAGUUUUGAACUAUGAAUUUUCAUCCAGAAAAAGAUGAUACUACCAGAAAUCUGUUUGAAUGAUGGCUACUAAUCAAAUAAUAAAAGAACAUAAUUGCCAUUAAAUAGCAUCACAUCUCCUGGCCCUAAGAACUACUAAGAUCAUGUAUUCAGGCUUUUAGCUUCUAGAAAUAUUCCUCAACUAAGAGCUAGAGACGAAACCUUGGGAAAUUAAGAUUUUACGGUAAAUUUAUGAAUCGGAAAGAAACCUGUUUGUUCAACGAUUUUGUGCACAGAUAGUAGAAGAUUAAGAUUCCAAGGUUAAAUAAAUAGAUAUAGGAGUUGUUGAAGCUAGUAUACAUAUGUAGAUAUACAUAAGUGUACCUAUACAACCAAAUGCUGCUGGUGGAGAAUGUAUAUAUAUCUUUUGAGAAUUUAUUCAGCAAUUAUGUUGUGCACCACCAGACUGAGAAAACCACCCUUGGUUCUUAAGUAAAGAUUAUCAAGUAACUGCCAACCAAUUAAUUAGGAAUGGAUACUGCAAGAAGCCACCAUCAUUCUAUCUCUUUGUUCUUCGUAUUCUACUUUGUUUCUUUUUCUUCUCAUGUUUUAUGUUAAAAUAUAACCAUAUUAAUCUUUCCAAUUUGAGAUAAUUCAGCUUGAUUAUACUUAACGCUAGUUGUCUCAUGUUCAAACCUAAAGUAAUUAGGUUUUUAAUUGCUAUUCAGAUUUAAGUUUGACUUGUGCAACCAUUUUUUAAGUCCUUUUGUUUCUGUUGUUGAAAAUUCAUACAUAAUUCUUAAUAAUGUAUAUUGGUUAGUAAAGAUGAGUUGGGUUGACACUAGUCUAGGUUUCAGAUUCCCAAUCAAAUACCAGGUGGCCAAGGUCAGAAAGACAUGCAGAAAUCAAAUGAAAUGAGUGUUAUAACCCUAUUUGGAUAUGAGAUAAAAGUAUUGUACUAAUAAAUUUUUAAAGAAAAACACCUGGCCCAACCCCAAAAGAUAAUGUGAAAGAAGAAACAUAGAGAUCCAAAUGAAUAAUCAUAAAAGAAUGCAACAGUGAAGAUAAAUAGGCUCCUUUAAAUUCCUAAAAUACCUUCAACAAUGGUAUAUCUUGAGGGUAACACACUAGUAGACAACAUUAGACUACCAAAAAAAAGUUGUUGACCGUGAUUGCUUCUUUAACUAGUCAAUUCCAUUUAUUAAUAUCUUCCUUAAUGUCUUAACUUCUGACCUAGUUAAGAUUUUAGAAUACAUAUCAAUUUUGACAAACCAUUUGACAUCAGAGCAAAGGAAUUUGCAAGAGUAUCAAUGAAUAAAUGUGAAAAAGCAAUCUACUCCACCUUGUACUCCAGAGGAUCCAAAAUGGAUAGUAGAUGAGGCGAAGUAGAACCCAUGAUAAAACAAACAGAAUAAAUGAAAAGCUAGCAAGAGUCUCAGUGCCACUAUAUUUGGACAUCUUCCCUACUUCAAGAAAUACAUCACUAGCAUCAUGAAGAGCCAAAACAACAGAACCAACUCGAGCAAACCUGCAAUAAGACACAUGAAACAAAUUUUAAAAAUUCCAUCUGCACCAGGUUAUACUAUUUUAGCCCUUUCUAGUACAUAUAUUAAUUUGAAUAAUCAUAUAUUCAUAUUAAUCAUCCCACAUAAUGCCAUUCCUUGAACAUAUUCCAACCUAAGUUGAAGUCAGCAUAAUUGAAAUUAGAACUGAAAAUGAUAAUUACAAAUUAAUAUCCUUCUAAGCAUACCUGAAUAUGUAAGACAACAUGAUGAGUAUCGCAGUUGCUACAUGAUGACCCAUUGACACCCCAAAAUCAGAACGCCUUGUUUCCCAAAAUAUCAAAGCAAAUAUGGAGUAUGUAUAGAAUCCACCAACAUACAUAUAAAGUCCUUUCAAUUUCAACCUGGUUAUCAUAAAAUGAGUCAACUCAGAAAUAGAAAAUUCUUACAAAGUAAAAGAAUAAAUCAAGAGCGACCCAACGUUGCUACAAAAAUUAUAUAAUCAUUGGUCUAUAAUUUUUGGAAAUCUUACUUAAUUUUAAGCUCUGGCCAUACUUGAUUUCCAGGUCCUGUCCAAAAAUUGCUUGUGUUAGUGAACCAAGGCUCAUCAUAGGUUACAGCAAGAGCUAGAAUCUCUGCUGAAAGGUAAUAAAUGCAUUUCCACGCUGAUUCCUUGAACUUUCGUAUCUUCUUUCUCCUCUCAUCUGUCUCAACAUCCAGCUUCUGAUUUCCCUUUCCAAAUAUCAACAGUCUUCCCACUUUCUGCAAAAUGUAAACAUUCAUUUUACUUUACAGUCUGAAUACAAAAAUUUCCAUUGAAGAGUUAAUUUUCUUUUUCUUUUUGGGUAGGAGGGUUGUGGGGAAGACCUGGCCAUGGAGCAGAUUGAUUCGAGAAGGUCAAUUACAAACAUAUAGAAAGAAAUCAACUAGUGUUGGUGUUGCUUAUACAUGGUGUUGGGAGAGGUAAACUAGAUAAUAUAUAUCCUUCAGCAUUUUUUUUAUGAGUAGCUAUCAUGCAGCGUUAUUUUUUAACAAAUUUUGUGUUCUUGAGCUGAACCAUUCUAUUUGCACCAAAAUAACAAUCCAAAAGAAGUUUACCAAGAACACUCCCCAUGGAAGGUUUAAUCUCGGUUGACGCAUAAGCUGGGCCGAGGACACCCUUACCGUUCAAACAAAAAAAAAGACUAGUUAUCUAGUAAAACCAACAUUGGAGGUUCAUUAAAUCUAUAUUUUUUGAAGCAGAAAAAGCUAUUGAAUCCAAUUUUUUAAAAUUUUAAAAUGAAUUUGUAUUCAGUACCAUUCUUUAAUAUGUAAUAUUCGCAUUCAAUUUUUCAAUCAUGAAAGUUGUAAAUUAGUAACUUGGGAUCAGUCUAAUAAUUGUUUAUCUGCAAUGGUCUCUGCAUGUGGUUUUAUCCUGAUUUUCCAGCUUAUCAUCUAUGAUGUUGCAUUCUAGGUAGUAACAACAUUGAGUCAGAUAAAGAAGAUACUUUCUGGGUAUGUUUGGGAUUACAAAGUUCUGGGAGUGUUGUUUGUUGGUAAUAAAGCAUUAGGGACAGAAACCAGAUGAGCAUUACCAUUCAUGUUAAAGGUACAAAAGGACAACUAAAAGAAGAUAAAACACAGGAUUAUUAGUUGGGAAAAAGAACUACAGCCCUAAAAUAAAAUAAGUUCCACAUUGUCAAUAAAAUGUACUAGCUAAGGAUUUAAAUAAAUAUGUAUUGUCUCUCAUGGUCCAAUUGGCCAUGGAUGACUAAUAAGUAAAAUCUUAGUUAGUAUUAGAUCAUAAAUCCCGUCUCAAUUAUGAAAUUAAGAUCAUGCAUUACUAAAAUGGAUAAAAUACCGCCUAAGAGAACAUCGAAUCACUCAAAAUCCAUGUGACUUGACGUAAAUGUCAGGGAAAAAUCUUGGUAGAAAAAGAUGCCACAGAAAGCACAGACAUUAAUAUGUUACUCCCUCCAUCACAAAAGAAAGUCCAGUUUCGAAAGUCUUAAAAAUGUUUGACUUUAGCAUAAUUAACGACUAAGAUCAUAAUUUAGACUUCGCAGGAAUCUAAUAUAAAGAAGAAGCUAUUGAAUCAAAAAGAUGCGCCUCUAUAGGUGUUUAUGGUGUAAAAUGCUUUUGCUGGGCUGAUUGGACCUUCUUUAAUAUUGGAGUGAGCAGUCUUCAUCUUUUUGGUUAUACUGUUGCAGUGAGUAAAUACAAAGUAUAAACUAUAAACAGAACUGUAUAUUCUGUUCUUUGUGCUUAAAAAAACAUAUAUCCAUAGCACAAUUACAGCUAGAAAAACAACAGAAUUUCAAAAAUUAACACAAAGCAAAAGGAUGAAUGCAAUAUUGGUCGACGAUACACCAUAUAUUCGUAAAGCAAUGAAUAGCAAAACGUACACACAGUGAGCUUGAUCAGUCGAUCUAAUAACCAAUUAUCAAACAAAGUGAACAUCAAUCGAAAGUAAAAGAAACCCACUUCAAUCAAACUGAUAAUAAAAUCAACAAGGUACCUCGAAAAUAAAUCUGUCGAGAAAGAAGCGCACUGUAGGGAAGAACAGGGCAAAUAAGGGAAGAACUGCAAAAUCUUCAUACUUUGGAAACGAUUCAUGUUCCCAAUCAAAGGAACCCAAAAAUUCAACCAAGUCCAUUACGGGUUUCCUCAGAAUAACUGUAUCUGUAUCUAUAUAAUUGGUAAGUAAAUCUCUCUAUAUAUAUACACGUAUAUAUGAAUAUGGAUGAAUUCUUGGGCAGAUCAAUGUCUAGCCCAGUAAGGUGAGAUCAAAUCGAGGACUUUAGCAAUGUAAUUGGUUGGUUAUUGUGUAUUGAACAGAUCUGUCUCCCCCACCAGAAUUAUUUAUUUAUUUAAGAUGCCAUUUGAUAAAUCAAGUCAAUUCGGCUUUGAGGUUGACAUUAUAAAAAGUUGGCAAUCGACUGGCGAUUGUUAUCUGGACCGGCGUACGAUUAGUAGAGUCCAGCAUGGUGGGAAGGCUUUGGGCUGCCCAAUAUCAGUUGAGAAAGAGAAUAGCUUUUAUGGUUUAAUCGUAAUCCAAAAACUGUGCAAUAUACAAUUUUUUUUAAUUACUUAAUGAAAAUAUGGCACCUUAAAUAAUUUUAUUAAUUAUUUAUUUAGAUUUUAUUUAUUUAUGAGAACCUAUUAUUUUGCAAUUCAUUUUAGAGAUACAUUUCAUUCUACAGCCUAAGGAAAGUUGGAGAAGGGGUCCGUAAAAAUCAGAGAGCAACUUAAGAGAAACUUAUUUUUAAGUAUAAAACAAAGGAAAUCAUAUAUUUAACUUUUGCCAAUUUCAGAAUGAAAUAAAAAUAAUAUAUUUGAUGAUCAUUUUUGAGUAUAAAUUAUUCCAUUCCAAUAGAAUGGAUUUCCUUUCAAUCCUGGCCUUAACAUUUUUACUGUGAUUUUCAAGUCCUGAGAACGGUUAAAUACAAACACAGAGAGUAUUACCAUUUGUGUAAUUUUUUAGCAGUAAAUUAAUUAGUCAUCCAAGAAGAAGUUUAAACUGGGGCCUCCUCUUCCAAUAGGCCAAGUUGUCUGAGGGAUGAAUGAAAUAAUAAAUGAUACACAAUUAUAAGCAUCUUAAGUUCAUCCCCUUGAAACAUCACUACCCCCUUGCAUCUUGUUUGGCUGGGCUUACCGAGAGAUGAUAAAAUCCAUGGCAGCCUAGCUGUAAUGGGACACACAUCGGAAGCUAAUGAUUUGUGUGCCUGUUUUUAGUUCGUUUUCUGAAUGUGCCUAUAUAGUUUAGUUAGUUCCUUUCAAUGAAAUAAACAAGUGUGACUGGAGCCGGGAUAUCUUACUUGAGGAUAAGUCCAUAAUUAGCUGAAUGUAUAUACAUACAACCUCAGUGAUUUGCAGGGCUAGUAAUUAUCAUCUUCUUUUUUAGAAGACAAAUCAUAUAUUUAACUUUUGCCAAUUCCAGAAGAAACCAAGUUAUAUUUCCGGGUAAUAGAAGCCAGAGAUGUGAUGGUGCUAAAAUUGAUAAUAAUAAUAAUAAUAAUAAUAAUAAUAAUUUCAUUUUGUAUCAUCAAUGUAGCGUUUUUUGCUUUUUGCAUGGAAGAUUCGCAUUUAUAGGAGUCGGUUUCCUUUCUAAGAAAAUUAGAGUCUCAGAUUUUCUUGUUCUGAACAAGAAUACUUUGUUUUUCAGUUGAUUACUCUCUUUUUGAUUUUCUGCUGUAUACUCUAGCGAUAGACAUGGACUCAUCCCAAGUCUGCGGAGUCAUAGAAGAAUAUAGUAGCAGUGAGUCCGGGUGGGCAAUGUAUAUAAACUCUCCCAACCACGAAAACAAGAAUGAGGAUGGAGGUGAUCACCAAACAGAUCAAGAAUCUGGGCAUGAUAAUGCAGAGUGAUGAUUCUAUGGCUUCAGACGCCUCUUCAGGUUCAAGUCAUGAUCAUCGUGUAACUUUACACACUAAGGAAAGUUGUGGCAAGGGUGAUUUCAAGUACGCAAAGGAUAAAAAUUUGGUCCAAACUUCACGCAAGAUACCUAGGAAACAGAUGGAGAAGAAGAUGUACAAAAGGAAGAAAGAAGCUGAGACCCAAGAGCCAAAACACCAGCCAUACAGAGCUAUCGGUUAUGGUCAAAGUGGAGCAAAGAAAAUCAAGUAGGAGGGCAGAAGACACUUCAUAGAUUCAGUGAGCACACAGUAGUGUAGUCAGGCAGUAUUAGCUAACUCAAGCACAUGUAUACAUCAUAAAUGUUCACGUGAUCCUUUGUUUCAUGUUCCAUGAUAUAUAAAAGUUUCAAAUGCGUGUGUAUAUAUAUAUAUAUAUAUAUAUAUAUAUACAUAUACAUAUACUUGUAUGAAUAUAUGUCAGACCAAACAUGCAAAAAGGUGAUUUAGAAACUGAUACAGAUCUAGGGUAGCAAAAAUCUAGGGAGCGAUAGCAUAGAGAUGGAGGAUGACAAUUGACAAACACCAAAAUACCAGGCAUUACUAUUAAGAAAAGACGCCACAAAUAUGAUAUUUGAGCUCUACCUCUUCUUGAAGAAAUAUUGUUGGUCUAUUGGUUUCAAAGCUCGUGCUCGUAGUUCAUCUAAAGGCAGUUCAUCUAGCUGAGGUCAAUAAUCAAUGGCAGCAUCAAUGAAAAGCAUUUGAACAUGAAAAAUUAAAAUUUAAGACUUCAUAUAACAAGAAAGUACAUGACCAGAAUAAAGAUCCACGGGACCCCCAGCAAACAUAUAUUGCUCUUAUAAUUAAGAAGAUAGGUCCACCACAAUAUGAAAAAUCAAACCAAAUCUAAAAGAAGUUACAACAAACAUAGAUAAUAUGCAAUUUAGACACUUUCAGUAUAUCUAGAAACAACAAUGCCAAGAAAAGUAUGACAAAAUGAAAUAGAAUCAAAUGCUCGGUCUCAAUCACCAAUGGAACAUUAUUAGGUAUAAAAGACAACAGUUCAAAAUGGUUGAAGACAACCAUCGGAAAUCAGAUCUUUGACUGUUUGGCGAUCUUGAACCAUUCAGUAUGGAAGGCCCCUGGUAUAUCAGUCCUCUCAUAUGUAUGAGCACCAAAAUAAUCUCUUUGCGCUUGAACCAAAUUAGCAGGCAGCCUUUCCCUUCUAUAGGUGUCAAAGUAAGCGAGACUAGAAGACAUACCCGGUGUGCUUAUACCUGCGUUGAUAGCAAGACAAACAACUCUUCGCCAAGCAGAUUGUCGCUCUAUCAUCUCCUUUGCAAACUCUGGAUCCACAAGAAGGUUAGCGAGAUCUGCAUUUCUAUCAUAAGCCUGCUUGAUGCGGUCCAAAAAUAUUGCACGGAUAAUGCAACCCCCCUUCCAAAUCCUAGCAAGCUCCCCAAGUUUUAAACCCCACCCCUUUUCAAUACUCUUUGCGCGGAUCAAAUUCAUUCCCUGGGCAUAACUACAUAUCUUGGAAGCGUACAGCGCUUGUCUGACAUCAUCAAUCAACCUCUUCUUAUCCACAGUUUGGUCAAUGAGGAUGUCCCCCACCCCGCCUGCUUUGAAGACCUCUGCAGCUGCAACUCUUUCAUCCUUCAAACCACUGAGGAAUCUUGAAUCCAAAGAUGAAGCUAUAGUAGGAGCAGCAAUAGACAGCUCAGCAGCUUGCUGGACCGUCCAUUUACCUGUACCCUUCAUGCCUGUUUUAUCAAGAACCUUGUCCACCAAAUACCCAUCUCCCUUAUCAUCCUUAAUUCCAAAUAUAUCUGCUGUAAUCUCGAUUAAGAAGCUCAGAAGUUCCCCCUUAUUCCACUCUGAGAAAACCUGAUGCAAUUCCUCAUUUGAGAGCUUCCCAACUGAUUUUAGUACAUCAUAAGCUUCUGAAAUCAGCUGCAUAUCACCAUACUCAAUCCCAUUGUGAACCAUCUUAACAAAAUUUCCAGAUCCACCUUCGCCAAUGUAUGUAACGCAAGGGCCACUGUCAGGAACUUGAGCAGCCACCUUGAGAAGGAUAUCUUCUAUAUUCUUAUAAGCCUCAAAGGAUCCUCCAGGCAUUAAAGAGGGUCCAUUCCGAGCACCCUCUUCACCACCCGAAACUCCCAUUCCAAGAUAGAGUAAGCCUAAUUCAGCCAUAGCUUUCUCUCUCCUUUCGGUGUUCUCGUACCACUCGUUACCACCAUCAAUGAUACAAUCUCCUUUCUCCAAGUAGACGGAAAGGGUUUUGAUGGUUUGAUCAACUGGUGCACCAGCCUUAACAAGCAUAAUUAUGACUCGAGGUUUCUGGAUUGAAUUAACAAAGGCCUCAGGAUCAUGGAAGCCGUACAAGGGAAGGUUUCCUUCAAGUUGGGCGCGUUCCACGGUCUCGUCAACUUUUGAAGUAGUUCGGUUGUAAACAGAAAUAGGGAAUCCUUUCUCAGCAAUGUUGAGGGCAAGAUUUUGACCCAUGACGGCAAGGCCAGCGAGACCGAUUCUUGUUGGGAGAGGAGCCAUUUCCUUUUCCUGUUUAAAACUUUACCAUCAGACAUCAGUAGAUUAUAUUUAUGGUUUCAUAAAUCACAUGCUAAUGGAGAGGAAAGUUCCAAUAACAUCGAAAAAUGGAAACAAAAAAAUCAUUUAAGGAACCAUUCUAAACAGGCCAGUAAAGUCUAUAUACUUGGGUGAAUCCUAACAAAACAGAACAAAAAGAACCCAAAAAUUCAAGACUUAUUGCAAAGCCUCCAUAUUGUUAAAAUGGAAUCUAAAAAAUCUAUUGGACAGACAAACAUAUCUCAGUGGGAAGGAAAUACAAAUUAACUGUUUAACCAGAAGAACUUGGAACUUAUUUCCAAGAUCCGUGCUACAUUUUGUUGCUUUGAGUAGGAAGUGGGAGAUCCAAUUCAAAUCCCGUAAUUGGUUGCUUACUAUAUUAAAAAUGAAUUUGGAAAUCCCCCAACUCUUCCCCUUCAUAUGGUCCAGUAUUAAAUUCCAAAGAUUCAUAACCUAUAUCCUACCUCCUACAUAGAUGAAUGGGUAAAUCUGAUCUACCUUAUCACAUUCAGCCAAAUAAUUACAAUAUUAUGAUUUCCUGAUCACUUCACCAACAAAUCAGAAAGUGACCUACAGAAGAUGUGCAAAAUAAAGAUUCAAAUAAAAGGAACCGGUUAUAUAAUUGAACCCCAUAUCAAAAGAAUCACAGAUAACUUAAUAGAAUGUUGCCAAGAAGAACCAAAUUUAUGACAAAAACGAGAUGAAAAUGAAAAAAAAAAUAACUUGCUGGUAGAAGUAGUAAAAAAUCAGUAACAAACACAUUAUAUACAUCCAAAGGUUCAAUCAAACUAUAUAGCAGAAAACAAAUCGGGCAAACAAAGUCCGGAAACUUUCAAAGGCAAAGGAAAAAGCAAAAAAACAACAUCUCAGCACUGAUCAAAGAUGAAAGAUUGAAUCUUGACAAGGAAGUAUUACCUCAGAAGAAUACAAAACUAUGAAACUUUACUUCAAAUGGUUCGAACCAGAGAAAUUUUUGGAUCUGAGCUUUUAAGAUCACACUCAAUCAAUCCGGUAGAAGACGAUUAUAUACUGGUAUAAAGAAGGUUCCCACACUAGUCUAUCUUCUGACUUCGGCGGAAGCCCAGUACAUUCACGCGCAAGUCAAAUUCGGCUGGCUUAUCGUUUUCCCCUAUCACCGGUGAAUUGGUGAUUGAUUUACCAAAUGCCCUUCUUUUCCCGCAUAUCCCAGCGGAUCCACCUACCACCAAACUACUCCUACUUAAAAGUUAAAAGGGAUAAAUAACGUUUUCUUCGAACUUUGAUUUUCAUUGUGAUUAUCGAAUUUUUUUUUAUUACAAUUCAAUAAUUAUACUUUCAAAAAUUUAUAAAAUAGUCAUUCCGUCCAAUUUUUCGUCCAAAAAAUAUUAAAAAUACUGACUGUGCAAGUUGACUUGACUUUUUUACUUACGUAGAACACAAAAAAGACAAGCAAGUAGAUUAUUAUAGCACAAAUGACCAAAACUAUUAAUUACUUCACCUAAACAAUUCCAAAACUAAUAAUAAUAAUAAUACUAAUAAUUUCUAAAUAAUAAUAAUAAUAAUAAUAAAUACUAUUAAUAGUAAUAAUUUUAAAAUUCUAUUUUUAAAUUUUUUUAAAAAAAAAUCUGUUAAUUUUAAAAAAGUCUUUUUUUUAAAAGAUUUUUUGUUUUUUAUAAUUCAAUUUUUUUUAAAAAGUCUGUUUUUUUAAAAAACGUUAAUUUUUUAUAAAAACAGAUUUUUUUUAAUUUUUUUAAAAACGUUAAUUUUUUUUAACUGAACUAAUAUUUUUUUUAAAAAGUUAAUUUUUUUUAAAAACGUUAAUUUUUUUAUAAAAACAGAAUUUUUUUUUAGAAAAUUAAUGUUUUUUUGAAUUUUUUUAAAAAUUUAACGUUUUUUAAUUUUUUUUUAAAAAAGUAACGUUUUCAAAAUUUUUUUAGAAAAGUAACGUUUUUUAAAUUUUUUUAGAAAAGUAACGUUUUUUAAAAAAAUUUUAGAAAAUUAACGUUUUUUAAAUAUUUAGAAAAGUAACGUUUUUUAAAUUUUUAAAAAUUAACGUUUUUUAAAUUUAAGAAUUUUUAAAAAAAAUAUUAGUUCAGUUUUAAAAAAAUUAAAAAAAUUCUGUUUUUAUAAAAAAUUAACGUUUUUAAAAAAAACAGACUUUUUAAAAAAAAAUUGAAUUUUAAAAAACAGAUUUUUUUUUAAAAACAUCUUUUUUUAAAAAAAGACUUUUUUAAUAUUAACAGAUUUUUUUUAAAAAUAGAAUUUUAAAAUUAUUACUAUUAUUAUUAUUAUUUUGAAAUUAUUAUUAUUAUUAUUAUUAUUAUUAUUAGUUUUGAAAUUGUUUAGGUGAAGUAUUUAAUAGUUUUGGUCAUUUGUGCUAUAAUAAUCCGCCUGCUUGUAUUUUCUGUGCUCCACGUAAGCAAAAAAGUUAAGUCAACUUGCACAGUCAGCAUUCCUAACGUUUUUUGGACGGAAAAUCGGACGGAAUGACUAUUUUGUAAGUUUUUGAAAGUACAGUUAUUCGAUUGUAAUAAAAAAAAGUUUCGAUAACCACAAUGAAAACCGGACCCCAGUAUAAUGACCAAAACGUUAUUUAUCCCAAAGUUAAAAGCAUGAUUUUUAAUACAAUUUUUUUUUUGUUAUAUCUGCACAGAUCAAAUACUACAUGAAAUAUGUAGAAGGACUAAUUUAUUAUAAAAAUUCCCCUUCUUUAAUUUUCUUAAUUUGUAAAAAAAAACAGAGACCUAAGAAAUUUCGAUAUACAAUCUAAACUGUAGCAAUAAAUUAAGGAUAUAUUUUUAAAUUGCCAAUUUUAAAAAUAAUAUUAAUUAUAAAUAUAGUAGUAGUACGUAGUGACAUGAGGCUAUAAUACUAUUCAAUAAUCAAUAAUUUUAAUAAAAAUAUAUAUUUAUUUGGAACAAACAUAAAAGAAAAAAGUAUGUCUCAUUUUGGAAUGAAAAGGUUAAUUUAUCCAUUCAUUAAAAGCAUUCUUAUUAGAAUUUAUGUUGAGAAAUAUGUCAAAUUCUAAAAUUCAAAUUGUAAUGUAAAUUUAUUUUAAUUUUUAAAAUAAAAAAUUUAUGCUUGGCAAUUUAUAAUAGUAUUAACUAUUGUAUUAAUGUUUACAUGAAUUUUGAAAUUUUAAAUUUACCAAAUUGAAUAUGAUAUAGAAAUCAAGUGGAACAGUAUUUGUGCAUGUGAAAAUUCAAUUGAUAAGAUUCACAUGCUAUUAUAACUUAAUAAAAUAAUAAGAAUUCCACAUAUCUAUUUUUAUUCUCAAAUCAAUCCAUCGUUUCAUCUCUAGUUCACCAAAGCCCUAACACGAAUAAUCUUUCCUGAAAAUUUCCUCUAAUAUUUUUUGAAGCUUUAGUAAGUUAUAAUGUUAAUUUAUUAUAAUGCUCUCUUAACUUAGUGAAAAAAUAUUUAUUUUUUUCAGAUAUGUAGUGAAGUGACCUAUGCGCAUGUCGCGUUAUCAAUUUUUGACGUGACACAACUAAUUGGUAGACAUUAAAAUAAAUUAAGAGAAAAAGUCCGGCCAAUUUAUUUAUUUUUUAUGAUUCCUAAACAAUUUAUAAUAUUUAUUAGAACUGAAUUUUUUAUAAAAUUCAGUGAUUUAGGUGUCAUUUAGAUACAUGUAAAAAACAUAAUUGUACAGUUCCAAAUGAGACCUAGAUCACUGAAUUCUAUAAAAAUUUCAGUUUCAAUAAAUAUUAUAAAUUGUUUGGGAGUCAUAAAAAAAAUUGUUAAAAUUUUUUAUGAGAAAGUGUUCAUGGUAGCAAUAUUUAAUGAAGCCUUAUUUUAAACAAUAAGUCCAUUUUUAAUGUCUAGCUAAAAAAUUUCUUAUCUAGAUUUCUCAGCUCAAUUCACCACCGUUCACAAACCUUAAGCUGUUGUUUGAUACAUGUCAUCUUAGCUCCUAAUCCUUAAUAACAUAGAUUUAUAUUUGAUAAUCUUAAUUUUUUUUCAUAAAUUAGAAAGUAGACCUGAUAAACAGGUGAGACAACGAUUAAAAGCUCGAUUUUUAUUGGGUUACAAAUGUAAAUACCAUGACCACAAUAAUGUGUACAAGAUAAUAAAUUCAUGAAAAAUGAUAUUUGUUUAUAAAAACCAUCAUUUAUAAAAUAUAUUUUUAAUUUUGGAUCCCAAGGAAUAUUUAAAAUUAUCAUAGGUAGUAAUUUCGUAGACAAUAUUUUAAUUUUAAAUUUAUUACUCUUUAUAAAGUUCAUUAGCAGUUGAAAGAACUUAUGAAGUAGUCUAGAUUUUAAAGUUGUAAAUAAAUAUUAUAAAAAUCAAAAAAGAAAGAAAAUAUAUACAAAUGAUUCUUCACAUUAAAGGUGAGACUCCACAAUUCUUUGUUUAAACUGUGUUAAUUUGAAUUAGGUUGUGUUUAAUUUCUUAUCAUUUGUUAAUUUGAGCUUGAAUCUAGAUAGUAGUUUGAAGAUGAUGCAGCAUCAUAUUAGUAUUAGCACGAAAUAAGAAAUAAAGGCUUGUGAGAAGUAUAUUGACAAAUACUAAUCUAAUUAGUUAAAGAAAAUUGCUCCAUCUAACACCCAACCCAAGAGCAUGCAUUCAAUGUUGCUAUAUAUAAGAGCAUCUCCAAACAAAUAGACAAACAUAUAAAUAUUCUUUUCGCUCUUAAAUCUAUAACCUCCUUUCUACUCUUCAAAUCUAUAAUUAAAGGCUAAAAAUAUUUAUUAUAUAUGUUUGAUAGGUCUGAUGUAUAGCUCAUUAGAUUGAAAAGACUGAUGACGCACAAAAUAUGAAAAUAACAAAUAAUACUCUUUAAAUUAUCACGUAGGUCAACAAAUAUUAAUUUGAAAAAUAUUUUUUACUCCUACUCUUGGAGAUGCUCUAAUAAGGUCAAAUGUAUGAGUAGAGAGACAAGAUGUACAAGCGAUGAAGGCUGUUGGAAAAAACUAUAAACUUAAUUUAGCUGCUUAUAAUGAGUUGCCUUUUUCAAAUGUUUUAAUCUUCUAGUACGUAGUUCAUUGUAUAUAUUAUUAUCCACUACUACCAGCACCUCCACCACCAUUUGUCCCAUUGCUCUGCUACAGUGAGCAAAAACAUGACUUAAUUUGGCCUUCCUUCAAACUACCUGCUGGAUCCUGUUUCCAUGAAGAGCCGGAAAUAUUAUUUAUCCCCAUAUUCAUUCUGUGAUUACGCAAAAUAUUAGAAGAGCCGGCCGGAAACUGGUGUUUUUAAAUAAUGAAUAUUUGUUCACGAGGAAAACUAUAUUUAUUUAGCUCCUUUGGUAUAUGGUUCAUGAUGUUAUAAACCUCUAUUUUCCUUUGAAUGAGACAAAUAUAUAGUAGCAUAAUUCAUACUUGAGAGAAUAAGGAAUAUAUAUAUAUCAAAAAGUGGAUAUAGAACAAACGUUAUUAUUCCAUCAAACGUAUAUAUAUACAUAUUUAUUUCUAGUGUUUUGUUGCAGUUUGUGACAAUUUGAGUGAUUAAUCUCGUUGAAGAAAAUUUGAGGAAUUUCUGAUGCAUUGGUUUGAAGAUUCAGCCCUGAGAUGGGCGGCUGUGCAAGGAAUUAAUCUACUCGAUCCAGAUGUCUCAAAUUAAACCGUCGUAAGUAAAUGAAAGUUGAAUGUCAGUUAGCCUGUGACGAAGGUCGGACGCCUCUUCCUUGAGCCAUGCAUUCUCUAGAAGAACUCUGUCAUGGCUCUCUGAUGCAUCAUUCAACUUGUCUAUGAGGUCCUGAUUCUCAGUUCUUAGACGCAGCACCUGUGACCAGAGCUCAUCUAGUUGUUUCUGCUUCCGCAUCCUUGACCUGCGAGCAGAUUCUCUAUUAGAAAUCAUCCUCCUUAGCUUUCUCUCGUCGAUGAUGCUAAGCUGAAGCUCAUGAUCAUCUCCUUCGUCUGAGGUUGAGUUAUUGCUGAUACACGAGGGCUGCGGAGUGAACUCAUGGACGGAAAGAGAGGUUUGAAAAUUCGGAAAGUUGUUUAAGAAGCUGCUGAAAGGGAGUGAUGGCAUGCUAUUAUCCUGCAUCAACCCAAAAUUAUUUGCAAAAUGGGUUGAUUUUUCUUGAGCUAGGGGGUGGUGGAUUCCUGCGAUCUCGGACCGAAAAAGCAUGGCUAAAUAUGGUUGGUGUAAGAGUGAAUUUGAAGGUUUAUUGUGCAGAUAGUGUAGAGAGGGGAUGGACAGAAUGAGGGGUUUUAUAGGAGGAUUAAACAAACAUAUAUAGUAAUAGCACUUCAAAUGUGUGUGAUGUAUGCAUGUAAUGAUUGGAACUGAUACUAUAUACUACAAGUAUAUGUGUAUGUGUGUGUGUGUGUUCAGUGUUGAUGCAUGUAUAUUUCUUGGAUAACGGAUAACUUGAGUUUUUGGAUAAUCAUUGAUGUAAUUCUUACUGGGGAAGGAAUGUUUGUGGUAAAAAUGAUGAAAAAAGUAGAGCCAAUGAGAAAAUAGUCUUUCAAAAUUCAUUCUAAAUGUUGUCCCCUUCUGAUUGAUGACCAAUUGUGGGUGACUGGAAAAAUUAGAGCCAUACAAUAAAAAUAGAAUUUUAAUUAGUGACCAUUUUUAUAUUAAUUCAGUGACUGGAAGGGCACUUCAAUUUAGAUUCAGGGGACCUAAUGAGUAUUGAAAAUAUUAGUAUUAAUUAUCUCGACAAUUAACAUCUAGUACGUAACUUCAUUUCUUCCAUUUUUUUACUUUUUAUAUUAUCAUGUUAUUACUAUUAUAUUUUUAAUCAAUCUUAAAAUUAAAAUUAAAAAAAUAUUAUUAAAAAUCUUCGUUUUAUAAAUAUAUCUACAAUAACAUUAAAAAUAGGAUGACUACUAAGGUUGAGUAAUACCAAUAAAACUAUUUUGUUCAGUUUCGUUUGAAGUUCUAUUAAUAUUACAAGAAUGCUCUACUCCAUAUAAUUAGCACUUGGCAAUGAUAAUUACCAGAAGUGCUGAAAUGUACUCGGCAUCUUUUAGGUUCUAAAUUCUGUCUCUUUCACACCAAAUUAACUAGCCGUCACCACAGCUUCUCACGUCUCUCUCUCUCUCUCUCUCUCUCUCUCUCUCUCUCUCUCUCUCUAACAUGCAUUCUUAUUAUAUAUAAUUAAGCAUAAUUAAGAUCGUGGUCAAUUAUUAUUCGGUAAUGGUUUAUAAUUAAUUAAUACAAGGAAGAAGUCAAUAUAUAAUACUGCCCUUGUAUGCUUUUAAAGGGUCAUUGUCAUUUAUUAGUAUUUCUUUGAAGAAUAAUUAUAUAUAUAUAUAUAUAUAUAUAUAUAUAUAUAAUUAUUCUAUUAUUCUUGAAAAAUGGAUCAAGAAAAGUGUAGACAAAUCUCAGAGGUAGCAACGUGCAACCGAAUUGAAGAUGUUCUAUAUAUUUAUAUUUAUAUGCAUGCAUGCUAGUAUUAAUUAUUAUAUUAAUAAACAGUUCGAUAUAUAUUAAUUCCACCCCUAGUACGUACUACUAUUAUGUUAUUUUAUAUGUUUAAUUGGUGAUUACCCACUAACCAAAUUAAACAUCCCUUUGGUGCAACUUGAUCCAACAAGAGAAAACUAAGAAUCCGGCCGGAACCGCAAGGUUCCACGCAAUCCUUGAAAUAUUUAAUUUAAAGGCUUCUACUAUUCUAUUCUCUAGUCAGUAGUCAUGUACUGCAUGCCUAAUCAAAUAAUUUUAGUUAAAACCCCCCACUAAUUAAAACAUCAUCAGCUAAUGGUGGAUUCCCUUUUUAGAUAUAUAUAUAUAUAUAUAUAUAUAUAUAGAGAGAGAGAGAGAGAGAGAGAGAAAUUAACGUUGAUCGAGAAUACCAAAUGUGUGCCAUAAAUCCCAUACAUUUUUAAAGAGUAAAUAUUAAUAUUACAUUUUGAACAAAGAGUAUUAAUUAUUUUUUAAAAAAAUAAUUUACUCCAUAAUAUUAAUAAUUUUAUUGACUAAAAUCUUAUUUACUUUUAAUAUUCAUUCGUUCGUGUUUGUAAUUUAAUUUUUUCAUUACUUGAACAAAUCACCUAAUAAAAACUAUGUUUAAUUACCUAUAAUUUUAAUAAGUUUUUUUCCCUUCCAGCUACACGUGUCUGCCAUGUGAGGUUUUGAAGAAAAUUUUUAUGAGACCUCUUGUCACCUUAACAAUGUCCCUUCUCAAGUUUCCAUCAAGAACUAAUUUGCAAGCUUUAGAAUUUGGUAGCAUCACUUAAAUUGUACCCGCGUGUGGGUUUUUCUCCACUUUUCCCCCACCCAAACAACCCAAUUAGUUAUAAUCAAGUAUACUUUCUUUUUUAUCAUGACGAUUAGGUCAUUGUGUUGCGAUAUAUAAUAUAUAUUGGUUCUAAUAGGAUAAGCUCAUCAUCUUAAUACCCUCUUGCGCGUCUUUUAUUCAUCAAUACUCGUGCAAUUUUAUAUGUUGAUUUUUUAAUUACGAAUUACGUAGAUAAUUAUAUAAUUGAUAAUAUUUUAACGAUAUAUUUGAAAUAAUAUGCUAAUUUUAUAAUUCUAUUUAUUGAUAUAUAUAUAUAUAUAUAUAUAUGGAUUCCAUUCAUAACAACCGGUUGUUGGGAGCAACUCAUUUUUGGCCAGCCGCUACAGCCUGUAGCGGCUUAUAAAAAAAAUAAAAAAAUUANNNNNNNNNNNNNNNNNNNNNNNNNNNNNNNNNNNNNNNNNNNNNNNNNNNNNNNNNNNNNNNNNNNNNNNNNNNNNNNNNNNNNNNNNNNNNNNNNNNNAUAUAUAUAUAUAUGUUAUAAUUGUACGUGGCAAAGACUCUUAAUUUUUUGGCCACAAGAUUAAUAUAUAAAUAUUCAGUUCUUAAUUACCAUCUUUCCAGAUGUUAUUAGAAUAAUGAUACGAUAAUAAUUAAUGGCAAAAAUUGUUGUUUAAGGUUGUUUAUAUAGUUGGUCAGAUUAUAAUGAUAAUGAUAAUGAUAAAUUGUUCAUGGACGACAAUGCUUUUGUAAGUCCAUUCUUUAAGUGUGCAUUAAACUUCAAUUCUUUAACUUUGUUUAUGGUAAUGGCCAAUGGGAUUCGAUAAUUAUGGAUUAUUUAAAAAUAUUUUAUGUGGACAUCGUGCUCCUCUAGGCUCUAAUUAUAUAUGCUUCCACUUGUCAAGUUGUAUAUAGAGACUCUAUUUGUGAUCAGAUUUUAGAAUUCAUGGCCCUCCUUACGUUACGUACCUUACUAAUUAAGUUUGUCAAUUCCUAAAUUUGAUUGUCCUCCACGGCAAUCAAAUUUAGAAAUUGGAUUUAAUGCAAAAAAAAUUUAAUCAAGAUCGACUUUAUUAAAUCAAAUUAAUUUUUAAUAACUGAAGUUGUUAAAAGUCCGUGUAUAGCAGAGCCAUAGGCAUGGUGUCAUACAUUUGGUAAUAUUUCUCGUCUCACCACUUAAAAUAUCUUACACACUCUUUUUCAUGAAACAUGUUUUUUUUUUUGCCAAUAUUUUAUUCUAAAAUAAAAGAACUCUAUUUUUAUUUUAUUUUAUUUUAUGAAAUAGGAGUAUAAAAUGACACAUGCAGUGUGCUCAAAUUAAUCGUUACUACAAUUUUACUACAUUGACGUCAUUCUGAAGUUUAAAAUGUACACAUAAAUAUGGAAUAAAAAUAAAUUCUUCAACUUUAUAACUUUGAUGGAUUAAUUUUUGUGGGACAGACCAAUGGAGGACUUGCAAAAGUUUCUAGAAACCAUAGUAUUAAUUAAUAUACGUACAGAGUUUUGCUAAAUUACUUGCAAAAAUAGCUACCUAAUCUUAUAUAUUGUUUGAAUUUUCUUUUAUUAAAGAAGUGGAUGACUAAUACAUUAAGGACUCGUCAAGAACUUAAUUAAUCCUUGAAUCCCACCACGGCCACUACCAGAAACUAAGUCAAUUCUUUAAUGACAUCAACUAUAUACACACAUACAUAUAUAACCGUACGUAUUCUCAAAUUUGUCAUGAUGGAAGUGCUUAUUGCUUUAUUUAUUUAUGGUCAUCUUUGAACCUAAUGGUGUGAAAAUGUCAACUUCAAUGCUUUUUGGUGCUUCCAGUAAUGGCCUUGUGACACUAAGUUGGGCUUUGAAUUCUUUUUAUGAAAGUGAGGGAGGGAGUAAAUUGAGGUAUAAGUGCAGAAAAUGAAAUGAAAUCAUUAAUUAGUUAAUGGGUUCAUAUAUGCACUCAUUUUCUUCAAAACUAUUACUCUCUCCCUCCCUAAAUAACUGACGUUUAAGAAUUCUUUGCAACAAUUAAAAAAAAUUAAACAUGACUCUUUUGUCCUUAAUAAAUAAAUUAACCAAACAAGAAAUAAUUACUCCACCACGUUAAAAUCUUAUCAGUUCUAUUUGUUGCCAUAAUUGUUGAUAGAAACAAGGAAGAAGAUGCAAGGCCAAUGGCUCAUCCAAAAUUUUUUGCCGCUAAAUUUUUGCUUCAAUUUUCUUUUUCGCUCUAAUAUAUUGUUGAUACCAGCAUAAAGAAAGAAGCUUGAAGACGUCAAUUGCUUGACUUCUGCUACUCACUUAGGAAGCUUGAAGACGUCAAUUUUUUUCCUGUAUCUGGUGAAGACUUCUGCUACUUAUUUAGGAAUCCAUGGAGAUGAACAAUUGGCUUCCUAAUCAUAGCAAGGAGGCAUUAGGAGACAGAGUUUGAAAAACAAUCAAAUUCAUCCCCAACCACAUGAACUAUACAGAAACUAAGAAACCUGUAACCAAAUUUCAAAUGACAAAGUCAUUUUUCUAGCAACCAAAUCCUCUCAAAUUGAAGUUUGUCAUUCUCUCAAAUUGAAUAGAUUGGUUCUUGGUUUGGGGCAAGUGAUAUUGCUAUAUCCUAUAUUUAUUCAGCAAGACAAUGCAAGAACUCAUAUUGCUUUGAAUGAUAAGGAAUUUUGUCAAGCUGCUGCACAAGAUGGGUUUAAUAUUUGUUUGAUGUGUCAACCUGCAAAUUCUCCAGAUUUGAAUGUUUUGGAUCUCGGAUUUUUCCAUGCCAUUCAAUCAUUACAACAGAAAGAGCCUAUUAAAAAUAUUGAUGAGCUGGUAAAUGCUGUGGUGAAGGCUUUCAACGAUUAUCUUACAUUGAAGUCUAACCGUAUAUUUUUGUCAUUACAACUGUGUAUGAUAGAAAUAAUGAAGGCCAAAGGUUCGAACAAGUACAAGAUACCACAUAUCAAAAAAGCAUUGUUGGAAAGAGAGGGCAGCCUACCGACUCAAAUAAAAUGUGAUUUUGAAUUGGUACAAGAAGUUAUGAAUUAUCCAACUCCAUUUGAUGUAGGUAUGACUUGAAUUUUUGUAUACUAAUAUCUGUAAUUGUCCUUAAAUAGGUGUUGGUUGAUUUAAUUGGUUCUCACAUUGUUCUACAGACUAACUCAAGUGCUUUUCAAUUUUAAGUUAGAGGCCUUUUGUAUGCAGUUGCCAAGAGCUUCUUAAUUUUGGUACUACAGACUAACUCAAGUGCUUAAUGUUGGUGUUUUUAUGUUGAAAAUGUUAUUAAGACUGCUUAAUUUGGUUUUAACAAUGUUGCUUAAUUUUGGUUUAUUCUGGUGGAUGCAUUCUCUUCAAUCUACUGUCUUGAUCAUUGUGUUCUUAUAUUGAAGUUAAAAUUCUGCUGGUGUAUGAAUUUUGCUGAAAACUUCUUUUAAAAAUAAUGUAUGAUUCUAACAGGAGCAGUUGGGAAUUUUAAGUUAUAAAUGUAUUUACAAUCUAUAGUAGAUUUGCUAAUGAAUAGGCAGUUGCCAACCGACCUGGUGCAUUCACUUCUUAUCAGUCCCAAACUUCACAAGAAAUACAUUAUAGAUAGUACAAUUUUUUGCUUUGGAUGUCAUUACUAAUUUCAAUAUGCGAAAUUUAGUUGUAUUUCCACUAAUUCAAUGAUUUUUCACUCGGUAUACAGGAUGCAUGUUGAGAAUGUAAUUUUAUGGCAAUCUGGCUAUACCAUAAAAAUAAUUCCAUGAAGCCUUACAUUUCAAGGUUACACACACCAGGAUUCAAAACCACAAGAAUGCAAAACACACGCCGAAGCACAAAAAAAUACAACAGCAGAUGGAUGAAAACAGUAUCUACUGUAUCUUCCUUCAUGUUCUAUUUUCAGGAAGCAACUUUAGAUGGGGGCAUGACUAAAGCAUUGCAAUGUUGACAUAAGGUUUAAGACAUGUGAACCAUCAGCCAAUUUUAAUGUGUUGUUGCUAAUGAGAAUAGAACUCUCUCUUGUAAAUCUUUUCUAUUAGAUGCUCAUUCAUGAAACUCAAUAAAAGAGCAGAGCUACAAAUAGAUUUUAAUGUAUAAAAUUAUUAUAUAAAUAUUAGACUCAUUCUGAUGGAUUCCUAUGCUUUCUAAGCUUCAUUUUCUUUGUGCUACUAUUCGAGAUAAUAAUUUUGGUAAGCUUGAAUAACAUCCUCAAGCUUCACUUGAACAUGAAGCCAUUAGCAAUAAGAUAGUCAAGACCAUUAAAGAUAUGGCUACAAAAAAUCACCAAACUCAUCCUCCAACUCAGUACCCUUCAAAUGCUAAGUUGCUUACUUGAGAUAACAGUAAUUCUUCACAUUAACCUGAAAGAAAAUUGAAAAUUCUGACAUGAAAGAGGAAUAUGACAAGGUCAAGGCUAUGCUUUCAAACAAACACAUAAUACGAUCUCCGAAUACAGGCCAUGCAAGCAUUUGAUAAUAUACUCUAUUUUUUUUCAUUCACUAAAUGAUGAUUUUCAACAAACAGAGAGUUCAUUCAAAAAUUUAACAUUACAACUGACAUGGUUAAUAAAAUUUUGAAAGAUACACUUCAUCUUCAUCUUCAAUUUGGGUUUACAAUAUACUCUGUUUUUUUAUAUUCUCUCUCUCUAAAAUUCCUGUUCUACAAAAUACUCCAUGUUGUUCUCGAAACUCUCUUCCUGCCAGGAAAGUAAAUAGAUAUUAUUAGAUUCGCUAUAUUCAUUGUAUAGUAUAAUUCCCAUAUAAUCCCAUUUACCUAACUUAGCCUAACUAUCCUACGAUAGUCCCACAAAUCAAGCAGAAUAGAAUCCUUCCCAUAUAUUAAGGAUUCUCAUGUAUCAAUUAGUUUGUAUAACGAAUCCUUCCCAUAUAUUAAGGAUUCUCAUGUAUCAAUUAGUUUGUAUAAAUAUUAACCUUAAAGAAAUAAAAUACUCAGGGAAAUAAACUCUUUUAUGGUAUCAAAGCCUCUUCUUCUCCAAAUCCCCUUCUUUAUUCUUCCCCAUGGCUACCCUUCACCCUGCCCUUGCUAUAAACAACAUCAAAAAUCAAAUUCCCGUCAUCUUAGCCAUGGAUAAUGAUGAAUACGAUACCUGGGUGGAGUUGUUCCGUCUCCAUUGCACUGCCACCCUGGUCCUCGACCACAUCCUGCCCCCCGCCCGAUCCACCGACCAAUCCCCCUACGGACCCCGCUAUCUAGGCUCGUCUGGAUGCCGUCGUCCUCCAGUGGAUUUACGGAACUAUCUCCAAUGAUCUGCUCCACACCAUCAUUGCCCCAAAAUCCACCGCUCGACAGGCGUGGAUAAGUCUGGAAAAUAUAUUCCAGGAUAACAAGGCCACCCGUGCUGUAAGUUUGGAGCAGGAAUUCAACACUAUCCACCUCAAAGACUAUCCGUGUAUCACUGCAUAUUGUCAGGCCCUGAAAAAGCUCUCUGACCGUCUCACGAAUGUCGGCGCUCCGGUCACAAAUCAACGACUGGUCCUCCGGCUCAUCGUCGGCCUCAACUCCAACUACGAUGGCAUUGCUACUUUCCUUUCUCAAAGCUCGCCCCUACCAACAUUCUCCGAGGCCCGUUCACGAUUAAUCCUUGAAGAAACACGAAAAGCUAAUCAGGCUGCCAUGGAGGCAACCACCGCAGACACUGCCUUAUAUCAUCAGUCCCCGCCAGACCCGAAACUGGACAAUUCGUUCACCCACAAACGUCCAAAUUUCCGCGGAUCUGGCCACGGUAAGGGCCGUAACAAUCGCCGCCAGGGUCGUGGGGGUGGCCACGAUGCAUCCUCUGGUGGCUCCUCUGCUUCUGCCAUUUAUCCCUAGGCUCCAUAUCAGCCGUGGAGAUGGGGGUGGGCCCCACCUUGCCCCUACCCCACCUCUGUCAAUCCGCGCUCUCCACCGAGCCGCUACCAUGGCAUACUCGGCCGAGCACCGCAACCCCAGGCCCAUGUUGCCUCAGCUGCUGCUCCCGACGGUCCUUCCCCGACAGACAUCGAGGCUGCGAUGCACACUUUGGGUUUAACUCCUCAGGACCCGAAUUGAUACAUGGACACCGGUGCAACUUCUCACAUGACUCCGUCUCAAGGUAAUCUCUCAUCUUAUUUUAAUUUGAGCACUAAAAGAAAUAUAAUAGUCGGUAGUUGCCAAGGAAUACCAAUUCGGGGCUACGGACAGGUCACAUUACCUCCCAUUUACCCUCGCCUUAAACUACAUAAUGUUUUACAUGCCCCCAAGCUCAUUAAAAAUCUGAUUUUCGUUCGCCGUUUCACUACCGAUAAUAACGUAACAAUUGAAUUUGACCCUUUCAGUUUUUGUGUGAAGGAUAUCCGGACGAGACAACCAAUCUUGAGAUGUAACAGCACUGACGACCUAUACCCUCUACUACCCUCCCCUACCACCCAACGCAACCCGACAGCCCUAACCACCACAGCUCCGUUUUUAUGGCACGAAUGUCUGGGACACCCGGGGCCAGCUAUUCUUCGUUCAUUGCGUCAAAAUAAAUUAAUUUCUUGCACCUCUAGAAAUAGUUUAUCUAAGUGUCAGUCUUGUAUUUUCGGGAAACAUAUUAAGUUGCCAUUUAUUGAUUCUUCUAGUCAAACAUUGUCUGCUUUUGAUAUUAUUCACAGCGACUUAUGGACCUCACCAGUUUUGAGUACUGCAGGACACAAAUACUACUUAGUAUUACUUGACGAUUAUACAAAUUUCUUGUGGACCUUUCCAAUUGGCCAAAAAUCCCAGGUUUAUCCCAUAUUCUUAACUUUCGCAAAAUAUAUAAACACACACUUCAAUAAACAAAUAAAAAAUUUCCAAUGCGACAAUGGCCGAGAAUAUGAUAACUCAAAUUUUGCCCAGUUUUGUAAAAACCACGGAAUGAGUUUCCGUCUCUCCUGCCCCCACACAUCAUCUCAAAAUGGUAAAACCGAACGUAAAAUCCGCUCCAUUAAUAAUAUCAUCCGCAGAUUACUCCACUGCGCAUCCAUGCCCUUUUAUUUUUUGGCAUUAUGCGCUCCACAUGGCAACCUACAUAUUUAAUAUACUUCCCAGCAAGCUUCUUGCUUACUCCUCCCCAACCCAACUCUUAUAUCAACCCACACUUUCCUACACACACCUCCGUAUUUUCGGCUGUUUAUGCUAUCCCCUAUUCCCACCCCCCACCAUACAUAAACUCCAAAAACACUCCACCCCGUGUGUGUUCUUAGGAUAUCCCCCCAAACAUCGUGGAUACAUGUGCUACGACCUCUCUAGUGGCAAAAUUAUCAUAUCCCGCCACGUGAUUUUUGAUGAGUCCAAUUACCCCUUUGAGGCUGCCCCGUCCGCUGCCCCCACUCCACUCGCCAGAGUCGAUGAUGACCCUUCCCCUCUAUUACAUGAGCUCAUUGACCCCACCUCGGGUGCCCCAUGUACGACACCACCUGUCUCCCCCACUCGGACAGAUCCACCGCGGCAUGACUCCCCACCCCCUGUACCAUCAAAUACCACCACAACCUCCCCUAUCACAACCCCAUUCCCUCCCUGGACAAUGACCACUCGCGGUAUGCGCGGCAUUUUCAAACCAAAAUAUCCCCUUAACUUAUCUAUUAUCUCCAGCCCUUCCCCCAUACCUCGUAACCCAAUCAGUGCCUUGUCCGACCCGAAUUGGAAAUAGGCCAUGCUCGACGAGUACAAUGCUCAUAUUAUUAAUAAGACUUGGGUAUUAGUUCCGAGACCACCUAAUGUGAAUAUAACUCGGUUCAUGUGGGUUUUUCGGCACAAAAAGAAAUCUGACGGUUCUUUUGAACGGCAUAAAGCCCGUCUUGUUUGUGAUGGCAGGUCCCAGCAGGUUGGCAUCGAUUGUGAUGAGACGUUCAGCCCAGUUGUCAAACCGGCCGCCAUUCGUGUAGUUCUCAGUCUUGCUCUGUCUCGAUCAUGGACUAUUCACCAACUUGACGUCAAGAACGCUUUCUUACAUGGCCAUUUGCAGGAAACAGUCUAUAUGCAUCAAACUCCUGGUUUCCGUGAUCGUCACCAUCCCGACUAUGUCUGCCUAUUGAAGAAAUCCCUUUAUGGCCUCAAACAGGCUCCACGAGCUUGGUAUCAGCGAUUUGCUGAUUUUGUUUCGACUAUUGGCUUCACUCACAAUCGGGUGAUCAUUCCCUAUUUAUUUAUCAUAAUAAUAAUGACACCGCCUAUCUGCUCCUCUAUGUUGAUGACAUCUUGCUUAUUACCUCAUCUGACAAGCUCCGCCAGUCAAUCAUGUCUCGUCUUGCCUCCGAAUUUGCCAUGAAAGACUUGGGUUCCUUGAGCUAUUUUCUAGGUAUCGCAGUAACUCGACAUAAGGAGGGCCUUUUCCUGAAUCAACGCCAAUACGCCAAGGAAUUAAUUGAGCGCGCAGGUAUGACCGACUGUAAGCCAUGUGCCACUCCCAUUGACACCAAACCAAAACUUAGCUCGGUCUCUGGAUCACUUUAUAGCAAUCCCACAUUGUAUCGUAGCCUUGCAGGUGCCUUGCAAUAUUUUACAUUCACCAGGCCAGACAUCUCCCAUGCCGUUCAACAGGUAUGCCUACACAUACACGCACUAAGCAAUGACCAUAUGGCUAUUCUUAAACGUAUCAUCCGCUACGUCAAAGGAACAAUAACUUUCGGCCUUCACCUUUACGCCACCCCUGCUACUGAUCUUGUAUCUUACACCGAUGCCAAUUGGGGCGGCUGCCCAGACACCAGAAGAUCAACAUCCGGGUAUUGUGUUUUCUUGGGCGAUAACUUGGUCUCUUGGUCCUCUAAACGCCAACCAACCAUGUCCCGCUCCAGUGCUGAAGCUGAAUAUCGGGGCGUUGCCAACGUCGUCUCUGAAUCCUGUUGGCUCCGAAAUCUACUACUUGAGCUCCAUUGCCCCCCACGAAAAGCUACAAUUGUUUAUUGUGACAAUGUGAGCGCCAUUUACCUAUCCGGCAACCCUGUCCAGCACCAAAGAACUAAGCAUAUUGAAUGGAUAUCCAUUUUGUCCGUGAACAGGUUGCUCGGGGUCAAGUUCGUGUUCACCACGUACCGUCCCGUCAUCAAAUUGCUGACAUCUUCACUAAAGGUCUUCCGCGCGUGCUUUUCAAUGAUUUUCGGGACAGUCUCAGCGUUCGUGAACCUCCCGCUUCGACUGAGGGGGUGUAUUAGAUUCGCUAUAUUCAUUGUAUAGUAUAAUUCCCAUAUAAUCCCAUUACCUAACUUAGCCUAACUAUCCUAUGAUAGUCCCACAAAUCAAGCAGAAUAGAAUCCUUCCCAUAUAUUAAGGAUUCUCAUGUAUCAAUUAGUUUGUAUAACGAAUCCUUCCCAUAUAUUAAGGAUUCUCAUGUAUCAAUUAGUUUAUAUAAAUAUUGACCUUAAAGAAAUAAAAUACUCAGGGAAAUAAACUCUUUUAGAUAUGAUUAAUAAAAAUUAGGGAGAUAGAUCUUCAACAUAUCCAUGAUAACAUCUUGAAAUUUUUCUUCACAAACUUCUUCGGCUACAUUUGGAAACUUGUUCAAAUCGAAUCCGAGAUCCGCAGGUUGAUUCAAAUCAAAGUUUCUUGGAACUUUGAUAUUUUCAGAAUCAAAAUUCACGAAAUCUCCAUUUUCUUGCAUUUUCAAUCUAUGGAGUACUGUGUUUUAAGAGAAGAAUUGCAGGUAUGGUUUCUUAGUUCCAUACAGGUCAAGCAAUCAAUCCACUCUUGGAAACCAACGAGAAUGUCAAGAGCUUUUUUUCUUUUUUGAACCAGAACCAGAAGACGCUAGUACUAAGAAGAAAGGGUAGUAUUGGAAUAAAAGUGGACAAUUUAGCUUUAAACUUUUAAAACAUCUAUUAUUUUAAGAAAAAUAAAAACUCCUUAAACGUCAGAUAUAAUAGGAUGGAGGGAGUACUACUUUUUUCAUUGACCGAGUGCUGAUAUUCAUCAUCCAUCAAAAUAUAUAGUCCUUUGAAUUCUAGUCUCCAAUACUCUGGGAAAAAAAAUAUCAGCUGAAGAAAAAAAAUACAAAGUGCAUGCAUGACUCACAUGUUACAACUUAUUUUAAAUUUGAUCAUAAAAUGGAAAGUUUUUAUUUAUUUUUGCCGUGAUGUUUAUGAAUGGUUCCAAAUAUUACAAAGAUUUUUAUCUUUGAACUGUUGGAGAUGGGGUUACUUCGAUGGUUCGUUCAAAUAUUUUUAUUUCACAAAUUACUACUAUUUCAGAUACGUCAUGGUGUAGGAUUUUUUGGAUACGCACACGCACAUAAAAUAAAUACAAAACUUCCUAUUCCCCAUCUUCGUCGGUAUAACAAUACAUUCUACCAGGUACAUAUCAGCAAUAUGUCAUCUGCAGUAUAAUAAUAUAUUCACAGUAUAAUUAACUUACCCUUAACCUGACCCUGACAUAUUGCCAAGUGUUUGAGAUUAAUUACUUAGCUAUAACCUUGUUCGACGAUAACUUAAAUGAUACAGACGGAGGAGUUAACUUACCUCCUCCUUAAUUCUUGUUCUUAAUCUUAUCCUUGGACCCUUCACGAGGUUUUUGUGUUGUUCCUUCCCCUAUCUCUUAGGACUUAGGAGUCAUUAUUAGGGUUGGCUUCCUUUAGCCUACUUUAUCUAGAUGCAUGAGAAAGCUCCAUCUAAUAACAGACUCAAUAUUGACGUCUUGCUUCCAAAGCAUAGUGCUUACAAUUAUCACCGGACAUGUGUAUGUUGUGUUGCAGGCCGGUUAGUGAGUCUAGUCCUCACCUUUACCUUCAUUGUCCUGUAAAAUGGGAGAUUAAUUUGGCAUAACAAUCAUCCGCCGAAUCACAAGUCCCCCCUCGUACGUAUUUUUCUUCAUUUCCUCCACCAGAUGCCUUUAACAAAGACCACCCUCCUGCACACACAUGUACAUACAUAUAUAUAUAUAUAUAUAUAUAUAUAUAUAUAUAUAUAUAUAUAUAUAUAUCAUAAUAUGAAUAAUUAAAGAGAGAGAGAGAGAGAGUAAUUAAUUACCAGGUACAAGAAGAAUCAUGAGGAUGAUCAAGUAAGCGAACUUGUUGUAUGAAGCCUUCAAGGCCAUAUUUUUGUAUAUAUGCUACAUACCAAAAAAUAAUGAAGUUCAUAUAUAUGGAGUAUAUCGCUUGAUGCACGAAUGAAUAUGUAUAAGGAGAGCCAAAACGUCGUCCUCUAUAAUUAAAUGAUGAAAAUAAUUAAGCUGAAUUUCCUAACCCUAUUAUAUAUAUAUAUUCACUUAUACGUGAAAUAAAAAUCAUUAAAGAUACUCUCCACUCUGCAAAAAGAUAUUCAAUUAUUUUUUUUCUAUUUAAUUUACAAAAAGAUAUAUAUUUGUGUAUCAAGCAAUAUAUAUGAACUUCAUUAUUUAAUUUGAGAAUAUUCAUUCUGCAAAAUACGUUGCCCUUGGUCAUGAUGUAUACACCGGUCAAAAUUUGGUCAAACUUAAAUUGUUUUUUUUUUAAUUUUUCUUAUCCUAGCUGAUGUUAUAAAAAAAGUUGUUUAGGACUAUAAAUAAGUACGCUUAUUAGGGGUGCUUGUGAACAAAUACGUUUUGUUUAAUUGAGAAUAUUAUUUUUCGUUCUCUUUAUGAGUUCUUUAUCUUUUUUUGCGGAUUCAAGCUAGGAUUUUUAUUCUGUUCUUGUUGGUACGAUAACCUUCAAAUCACUUUUGUGUUAGAGCGUUACAAUUUAACCAUUAUUAAUUCUGCUACGUAUGAAAGAUAAAUUAAAUAAUUUAAAUUUUAUUGUAGGGAUAAUAUGAUAAACUAAGUCAAUAUAUUAAUGCUUUCUUAAAAUAUAAAAACGAUAAAUAAAAAGGAACGAAUUAAAUUUUACUCUAUAGAAAAACAAAUACAAAAAGAACGGAGAGAAACUAAUUAAUAUAGACGUAUUUCGUGGGAAACUGACAUGUUAGAAAAUUAAUUAAGAAAGCUAAAACUCAAUAUUUAAGGUAAGCUAUAAAUUUAUGUUAUAUUUAUUUUUAAAUUAAUUUAAAUAAACGUAUUUAAUCGUGUUAAACGUGUCAAUCAGCUAAUUAUGCAUGUGAUUGACACAUUUAAAUUUUGUGGUAAACGUGUUGAUAUGUUUAUGACAUAAAAAUUGUUUACACUUAAUACUAACCCUCUCUAAUUGUAUGUUGUGUUAGUGUCGAGUUACCGUGUCAUGUUAGAAAUUGUCACUCCUCAUAUAAUUAAAUAUGAUAUGCAUGGUGAAUAGUAUGAUUUAAAACAGCAGUUCAUCAUAGAAACACAAGGACAUCAUACAUUAGAAUUUAUGGAAUUGGUAGUAUCAACAUAAAAAAGUGUUCUAUUUUUUGAAAGAGUACUGUAGAAGACUGAAAUAUAUCAAAUAUAUUAUGUUUUAAUGAAAAAAAUUACAAGUGAUUCUUGUUGAAUGAAAAAGAGGCCGGUGUCAUUGAUUCUUGUUGAAUGGGGGAUAAGACCAUAUGAGGAUUGAAAACAAUGUUUGGAACCUAAAAAAAACUGUCUUAUGAACAUAUCCACACUUUAUAAAGAAUUAAUCAAGCGUAAUUAAUUGACCAAUUGUUAAGUAAAGUGGGCAAAUUAAUUAAUCCUUACAUAAAUAAAAGCUAUAUAUAUAUAUAUAUAUAUAUAUAUAUAUAUAUAUAUAUAUAUAUAUAUAGAAUAUUGGACAAGACGGGGCAAAAAUUUGCAUAAACAAUAUAAAAAAAAUAGAGAAUUAAUAUUUUUAUUUUACAGUGAGAUCUAGUGAGGAGGAAUUUACGCAAUUAAUAUUUUUAUUUGUAAAAAUAUCAAUUAUCAAAGUCAAUAGAUUGUAAUAACUCGCGUUUGUUAUAAAACUUAACAUCAUCAUAAUCCAUAACCAUAGCCAUAGAGAGACUCACGCACAUAAAAAACGAAGAAGAAAAAGGAGAGGUAGAAAUUAUAACAGCUGGAUUUUAUAUAUUGGUAAAUUGAUUGAUAAUUAAUAGUGAUGACAUGGAUCAGAAACACGCGCAGGCGUUUCGUAUACACAUUGGAGCCAAGGUUCUACCACAGCACUGACGGCAGUCAUUGAGAUCUUGACAUACUAUGUUGCAGUUGCGAAGAAUACCCUCGCACCCAUUCCAAGGUUUGUCGUCAGAGCUGGACGUCAAUUCCGGCGCCGAAUAAUUAUGGCGAUGGUCAACACAUGUCCAGUUGCCUUUCAUAUAUUUGGGAGUCCCUACUUUACAUGAAACUUUGCAUUCGCCGGAAGUUAUACUCUGUGGCCUCAUCCCACUAUUUGCGACUGAUAAACCUGCCCAUGCAAUGACAUACAUACAUGCAAACAUAUAAUUAGUGACAUUCAAAUAAUCUGUCGCUAUUGUAAAUUGUUCACAAAUACUAAUACUAAUAUUUUUAUAUAUAUAUUUAUGUUCGUUAAGAGAGACUAACCAGCAACAAGAAGCAAUAGGGCUGACACGAAAAGCAGCUUAAACGAGUACUUCCCCAUAUGUAUAUCUAUUGCCUAUUGGUGAUGUGAUUUAUAAGCAACUAUGCUAUCAGUUUUACUUAAUUUGCAAUGUUAUACUACUAUAUUAAGAAUGAGUAUGCUCUACCAAGAGGGGAAGAAACAUGAAUAUAUAUAGAGUAAAGGGCAUUAAUUAUUUAGAUUACAAAAACUAUCCAGAUUAUUAUCAAUUAAUGUCAGAUUACAAUAUUUUAUUUGGCAAUUAAUAUUGUCAGAUUAUAAAUAAUAUUGGCUGACCAUAUAAUAAAUAUUGGUUAACGUGUUCUCUAUAACAUUAAUAAAGGUUUUGCUAAAUACACAUUUGUUCAGUUAGCAUCAUUUUGUGCUAUAUAUGACAAUAUCACAAUCUCUUAUUUAAUCUUUAAAAAAAUAUUUUAUUUAUUAUUUUAAUAAAUUAUGGAAGUUUUCAUCUCCAAUAAUGUGAUAUCAGUAGAAAAUUGAUAUUUUCACAAGUAAAAAUAAUAGUUUCACAAAUUUUCUCUCACAUAAAUAAUUAAUGGGUUUCAUUGUGGAAAUAUCAGUUUUUACUUGUAAAAAUAACAAUUCCCUAUCAUUAAUUACUUGACUAUGUAUUGGUUAUGUCUUAAAUAUCAUUUGUCUUAUUUAAUGUUUUGCAGACAUAUUUGAAAAUAAAAAGCGAAUUAUUACUCUCAAGAAAAUUUUGAUAUUUUCAUAAGGUUUCUCUUAUACGAGCGUCGGUCACAUUUAUUAUUCAUGUGAAUGGAACCUACCUUAUAGAAAUAUCAAUUUUUCAUGUACAAAUAUUAAUUCCCAAAAAAAACACUUGAUACGGCCCCCUGCAUUAGUUUAUUUAUUUUAGGAUAGUCUAGUAAUUUUAUUGCGUAUGUUGUUAAAAAAAUAAUAAUAAAUAACUCUCUUAAGAUGGUUUUUCUAUAAAAAAAAAUCAAUAUAUAUUUAUUAGCUAAAUUGACCAUAAUUUGUCUCAUGUCAAUCUUUUUGGUAAUUUUGAACCUUUUUAAAUAUAAUUAUUAUCAAAUUCUCCCUUAGUGUUCUAUUCUUCAUUAUCCAAAUAAUCAUGAAAUGAUCUGGCAUUAGGAUGGGUAUAUAUGAUAUUAAUUACUGCAUUCGUUUAAGUUUAGAGACAGAAAAUAGAAGAUUAAGUUUAAACUUUUUAUAGUUAAAUUGAGAUCUUUUAAAUUAAAAAUUAAUGUAAUUCAUUUAAUUUUUGAAAAUAAUAUAAUUUGUAAUUAAUAGAACAAUUUAAAUAGUUUUCAUGAUUGUAUUAUCUAAUUUUAAAUGAAUUUAUAUCAAUUUAAAAUUUAAAAUAAUUUUAAAAAAUCGCUAUUAAUUCUACGAGGAAAAGAAAAUGAUCAAGGAAUAUUAUUGCAAUCAAGGAAUUCAAAUUUUUUUAAUUUAAAUUCUCUAAUACAUGUUAUUGAGCUCCCUCUCAUAUCAACAGUAAAUGAAUUCCAUAAUAAAUUUAUUGCAACAACACUACUCGGUCCUAAUACACAUCAGCUUACAUUCCGACAUUGCAACAUUACGGAGUAAUUUAUAAUUAGAUUAUGGAAAUUAAGUGAACGUAAAAAACGUUGUUUUCCAUCAUUUUAUUUAUUUUUUUAUUUUUCUAACCACUUAAAACUUCAAGACAAUUAGACCUGACCCAAACCCACGGGUCGCAUAACUCAUCCUCUAAAUUCAAGAGUUUGGACUUAAAUUAAUGUCACCGGGUCUUUUUGACUCCGUCCAUUUAAACCCAACCUGUGGGUGAUCCGAUCCAUUAGUUAAUAUUUAAUAUUAUUUUUACUUAAAAUUUCUCCCAUUAAUAUGCACUAAUAAGUUAACUCUCCAACUAUUUCAUCUUCUCUUUAUAAUUAACCAUCACUCCUUCCUAAUUCUUUUGUCGUUUUGCAACUAUCGGUACUAUUCAUUCUCCAUACAUAAAAAGGUUGACCUUAAGGGCACAUUUUAAGCACUGAAUUCAAAAUAUAAGACCCACUGAAAAAUAAUUUUAAAUAUGUAAAAUAAUAUUUCAAUAAGACCGUAUACAUUUAAAAUUAUAUUUCAAUGAACUUCAUCCCUUAAAUUUCGUGUUUAACACGUGUUAAGAAAAUCCCUUUUUCAUCGUUUUAUAACAAAUUGAGUUUUAUUGUAUAGAAAACUUGGAAGUAAUUUAUGUUUUAUUAUUCAAAAGAAGUUGAAAUAAUUUCCGUUGUAAAAAAUAAUAGGUUCUUUACAAUAAUAUACAAUAAUCACUAAAUAAUUACACUAUUAGUGGAUCUAUAAAAUAAUUAUAAAAAUAGUACAAUUCACAUUAAUAAAGAAACCUAAAAUCAAAAAGAAAUAAUUGUCAUAAUUAAUAAUUCAAAUUCAAAUAUUUGAGAUCUAACAACAAAAACAAAUUCAAAAUAAUAAUUCACCCAAACUAAUAUGAGCAUAGAUCAGAUAGCCCGUCAGUAAGUCCAAUAACCCAAACAAAACAAAUUACUUGUACAUCCGAAACCAUAAAAAUAAAAUUCGAUGUAUUACAAACUUUUCCUUUCUUAACGAAGAGAGAUCAUAACAUUCACCGCCAUUGUAAUCUGGUGCGAACCACAUCAAGUAGAAACCUUCAUCUUCGAAUAUUACAGUGGACUCGCAGAGAAAAUAUUAGUCAAGCUUCAGCAACUGGAUAGAGAAGCAUGGCUAUUUGAUUUUUCACAAUUUUUUCAUGUCCGAAAAUUCCAAUUCCAAUUUCGUGGUCAAAAGAAAAUAAGAACACUGUAUAUGAAAAAGAGAGAUAAGAGAGUGAUGUGUAAUGUAAUGUUAAUAACCAAACAUUCGUACCAAGGUAACCAAACUAUUAUACCAAGGUAACCAAUCUACCUCCACACAUGCAGUAUGAAUUGGUUACCUUGGUUUGAAAGUUUGGCAACCAACGGUAUGAAGGUUUGGCUACCAACUGCAAUAACAUUCAAAAUAAAUUGGUAAUUUAAUAAAACUGAAUUGGUUAUCUUGGUAUGAAGGUUUGGCUACCAACUGCACUAUAAAAAAACUACAGGUGUGGAUGUGGAUUGGUUACCUUGGUACGAAGAUUUUGUUACCUUGGUAUGAGGAUUGGUUAUCUUGGUAUAAAGGUUUGAUUACCAACAGCACUAUGAAAAAACUGCACCUGGAUGGAGUAAUUAAUAAAUGUCAUACACAUUUUUUUUAGUAAGUGGGCAUGCACCUAGCUUAAACCCAUAUAUAUAAAAACAGUAAAACCCCUAUUUAAGAAUAUUCUAUAUAAGAAUAACCUCUACAAUAUUAUAAAAAAAAAUGGUCCCAAUUUGGGCCAGUUAUAAAUAUGAAUAACUUCUAAAUUGUAAUAUGUUAUAUACUCCCUCCUAUUCAUAUUAAAUGUCUUUUUAGAGUUAAACACACUUUUUAAGAAAUAACACAAAAUAUCUUUUGUAUCCCUAAUUAAUUAUUUCUCUCUCCACAAUGGUCCAUGGAAUUGUAUUUACUAAACAUAUUAAAUAGAGGGGUAAAUUAAAAAAAAAUAGUGUAAUAUUACAUAGGGAUUCCAAAACAACACUUAUAUAGAAUAAAAUGAAACUCUAUAAAAAGAUAUUUAAUAUGAAUAGGAGGGAGUACUUUUUAAGUCUCGUAUUAAAAAAUUAUACCUCUAUAUAGUAAUAAUUUCAUAUAUAUAUAUAUAUAUAUAUAUAUAUAUAUAUAUAUAUAUAUAUAUAUAUAUAUAUAUAUACACAUAUAUAUAUAGAGAGAGAGACAAUAUUAAUUUUAAAAGACUAUAUUUUCUAUAAAAGACUACAUUUUCUAUAAAUAACUACAUUUUCCUAUAAAAUAUUAUAUUUUCCUAUAAAAGACUAUAUUUGCUAUAAAAGACCAUAUUUUCCUAUAAACAUUUUCUAUAAAAGACUACAUUUUCCUAGUUUGAAAAUCUAAAUAAUUUAUGUGAGUUCUUAUUGACAUUUUGUUAAUGUGAAUAUUUUUGGGUGUUCGAAAAAUAUUUUGUACCAAUACCGCUAUUUAGUAAUAACCUCUCAAUUAGAAUACAAAUAAUUUGGUCAUAAAUUUAUUCUUAAAUAGAGGUUUUACUAUAUAUAUAUAUUUAGAGAGAGAGAGUCAGGAUUAAGUGCAUACCACUUAUCUUACUCACUCGUGCUCACCCCCCUUUAGGCGACGAUUUCGGUUAUACAACCGUUGUCUAUACUUUUAACGACGGACAACAUAUAGCGUUGCUAAAAGUAUAAACGACGGUUGUAUGACAGAAACCGUCGCCUAAAGGGGGGUGAGCACGGGUGAGUAAGAUAAGAGGUAUACACUUGAUCCGGACCGUAUAUUAUAUAUAUAUAUAUAAAACAAAAUAUAAUUGAUUUUAAAUUUUCUGCUCACCUUAAUAAAUCAUCUGGGCCAACCAAAGUUUGAGAUAAAUCCUACUGUCCAUGUAGUGCCGGAGGCACGGGACGAAUCUAGAGUGAUUCUUUUAAAUAACACUCCCGCUUAAAUAUCAUUUCCUUAUUAAAACUAAUAUAUAUAUUAGAACGGAUGUAGAACACUCCUCUUAAAUAUCACUACCUCUUAAAUAUCACUCAUUAAUUUAUUAAAAUUACGUCGUUUUGGAGAUUCUUUUAAAAUACUCCAUACAAAAUAAUAAGUAUUAAAAUAUAGUGAUCCCACUUGUUUUUUUUUAUUUACAAAAAUAACACUCGCGACUCCACAUGUUUUUUUUUAAAAAUUUCAAAACAAUGUAGUUUUAAUAAAAUAGUGUUAUUUAAGAGAGAGUGAUAUUUAAAAGAAAUGCUUUUGAUCCGUUAUAUAUAUAUAUAUAUAUAUAUAUAUAUNNNNNNNNNNNNNNNNNNNNNNNNNNNNNNNNNNNNNNNNNNNNNNNNNNNNNNNNNNNNNNNNNNNNNNNNNNNNNNNNNNNNNNNNNNNNNNNNNNNNNNNNNNNNNNNNNNNNNNNNNNNNNNNNNNNNNNNNNNAUCGCCGCCGGAACCAAAACCGGACUGCAAAGAACCAGCACAGGGGUGGCUAGGGUCAGUGCGAUCACCGUUCCGACGAGGGUCAAGCCUGAGAGGACAAGAAAGGACCCAUCGGAACGGUGUUGUGCCGCGAUCAAAAAACAAUCAGUUGGGAGUUGUUGAUCUUGAUUACGAGGAUUCUGAUGAGAGAUGGACAAAUGGGAGUCAUUUUCUGUGUUGGACAUUGCUUUACUUUCAGUUAGAGAUACUGUGUGUUGAUGAAAGAAUCAAUGGAUGAGAGAGAGAAAAGGAUGAGGAAAACAGUGAGUUAGAUCUGUAAACAUUUUUGCCUUGUUUUGAUUUGGGGAGAUAGAAAAAAAGAGAAUAAAUUCACUAAUUAUGUAAAUAAAAAUUUUAAAUGCAUUAAUUAUGUAAAUAUUUUAUGAGUCCACUAUUGUUGUAAUUAUUAUAAUUAUUUUAAAAAAUAUACUAAAAAAAUAUAAUUAUCCCAUAAAAAAUAGGUGUUUUUAACCCAGCCCAAAAAACUCAUCCGAAAGUAUUACAACCAGCAUUAAAAUGAAAGUCAAGCUUAGAUAAUGAUAUUUUGGAUCCGAUUAUCAUAAAUUUAUUUAAUAAAAUAUUGACACGCAUUAAACUUCGUCUGCAUGUAAUUAAUCAAUUGAUUAAUUUACUCAAAAAUAAACUUUAUGCUAACAAUUUAUUUUUUAAUAAAUUGAUGAAUUAACAAAUAAAAUAUUGACACGCAUUAAACUUCGUCUAUAUGUACUUAAAAAUAAAUUUAUGCCGAUAUUUUUUGUUGGUAGGGUACUUUCUUUGUCAGUGGUAUUUUAUGUACCCUUUUUUUUUGGGUGAACAAUUGGAUAGAUUGUUUUGGCUUAUUUGAUUACUUUUAAUAAAUACCAUCAGAUCUUAGAAUGAAUACAAUACAUGGAACAAGUUAUUCAAAAAUAAAAAAUAAAUCUUGAUUUAUUUUUCUAGGUCUUGCCAAUUGACAUGGAUUAAUCAAAGGACAAUUUACAACAAGAAGAAAAAUGAUUUAGUGUAGCACCAUGCUCGUAAAGUCUGAAGGGUAAGUAUCCAACAGACCAUGUAUUUUGGUGCUUCAAAAUCCACACAAAAAAUUAAUAAAAAUUAUCAUAUUUAUUUAUAGGGGCUUCUUUUCAUUGCGGGUGAUUGAAGAAUUAGCAAAGCAAUCAGAGAACUUUGAAGACCAUAAUGGUACGAUAUGAACUCAACAUGGAGGUUCAGACAGAAAAAGCUCAUCAUUUUACUUUGCUAUUUUGUUUAGAUCUGGAUCUGAUUUCAAUUUCAAUUGGUUAAAAAGUAGAAGAGAUCAUUGUAGGUGUUUUGGCAAAUAAACAGAUGAUAUUAAACAAAAGAAAAGAAUACUGAGUUCAAUCGAAUCUUGUUUAUGCCAAAUAUAAAUUUUAAUUUAGCACCUUAAAAUACCAGAUCUCGAAUUUUCCUUUCAACUAUGCUUCAAGUUGAAAGGGGCUAUAUGGUGCAGCAGCAGCAGCAGGAUAGAGGAGGAGAGAGAAAAUAUAUACAUACAUACUAGGGAUUGAAGACUUUGGAGUUACCUACUAAGUACUUUUUUUAUAGAUAAA
RNAcentral lists this long non-coding RNA (71199 nucleotides) under Panax ginseng (ginseng). RNAcentral describes it as "long non-coding RNA (PGIN_LNC008938)". The stretch from base 392 to 513 matches the Rfam family "MIR6135 microRNA precursor family". The record is from RNAcentral. Lineage: Eukaryota; Viridiplantae; Streptophyta; Magnoliopsida; Apiales; Araliaceae.